This 65228-nucleotide long non-coding RNA is filed under the name Sorghum bicolor (sorghum). RNAcentral describes it as "long non-coding RNA (SBIC_LNC000084)". Lineage: Eukaryota; Viridiplantae; Streptophyta; Magnoliopsida; Poales; Poaceae. The record is from RNAcentral.
AUGUCAAUGGUGACCACCCACAUCUUCAUCAUCACGUACUCAUAGUCGCAGCAAAGGAAGUGCACCACAUGUGGCCUGUAGAUGUCCACCUGAGGGAACAUGAGAAUGUGGCGAGGGAGGUCCUUUGGGGCGUUUGCAGACCACAGCUCCUUGGAGGUGACCGUGUAGUCCUUCUUCCACUCCAUGGAUUCUAAGGAGAGGGUGUGGCAGGUGAUGGUGAAGCCACCAACACUGGUUUUGAGUGCCCCAUAGCCAACGCCAUCAUGGCGGGCGAUGUCAACAAACUUGAGCUUUCUGCCACCGACGUCGGACGCGCCACGAUACAGCCAGCUGGAUGGUUUGCCCCGGAUAGGAAACUCGUCAAGAGGGAAGCGGAGGAAGGAAACAGUAGGGGUGGGAUCUCCGAACACAUCGCAGAAGAGGAUGCCACGGUAGUAGUCGAUCCAGCACAGCCAGCGGCCAACAGGAAUGACAGUGUCGGUCUGCCAGAUGCAGAGUUGCCAGGUAUCAUCAGGGUCGGGGUUCUCGAAGCCAAGGAUUCCAUUACCAUCGGGCUUCUUGCAGAAGCUGCGGAUUGGUACGCGGCAGGAGUUCCAUUUGCCCUCGAUGGCACCAGUGGGUACAGCUAGUUUGUGCAGCCAAAAGAUGUCAGCAAAGACCUCAGGGGCACAGACCUUAGGGUCAGGGCAGCGGCCAGGCCUGAAAAGUCGUAGUUCUGCUACCACGAACUCCUGUUGGUCUCGGCACAAGAUGCCCAUGGAUCUGACCGCCAUCAGACGCGGUCGCUGCUCCUUGUUAGGAGGAGGGCGACGGCGACGGCGACGGCGACCACCACGACCACCACCAUGGAGGGGAUAAUCCAUGCAAGCGGGCAGUGCUUUGAGUUUGGAAGGGUCGUCGGCAUCUGAGGCGCUGUAGAUGAAGAGCUCCUGCCGCAAAUCAAAUGUAUCGUCCUCGAUACAGACGCGAAACAGGACGAGAUGUUGGUGGCUCGCCAGGAUGGCUAAGGGCACCUGUUUUAAGGGAUCCGGAAAGCCCGGCAGCCGCGCGUAGAGGCGGGAGAUCGCCGGGGGCUCGGCGAGCUCGAAGGCGAUGUCGAAGGGGGCCUCCCACCGGGUGAUGCCGGAAGCCCUGAUGGGCAACUUGUCCUCGUCCGGGAAGGCCUCGUCCAUGCGGAAGACGAAGCGCUCCAGCAUCACCCACUUGGGGGGGGAGGCGGCGGCAGAGGCGGCGGCGGCAGACAUGGCCGCGGACAUGGCGACCUUGAGACAGAUGAGGAAAUUAGGGGGGACCAGGGGGGAUCACCGUGAAGACAAAUCGGGAGAAUUGUAAGAAGAGGUGCCUUACCCACGGAGAAGUAGGCAGCUGCCGGCCGUCGAGAAGAGAGGAGGGGAGGCGGCAAGAGGCGUGCGGUAGAGGCUCCGGCGAUGCGGCGGCUUCCCGAUUCGAGGAACCAAAACAGAUCUAGGGUUUCGAAUUGGUGGCUGGAUUUUUUUUGAAUAAUAGGGUGGGGGGGUUUUUUGUUGAAACAAAAAUAAUAGGGUGGUUGGGAACUUGUAUAGGAUACGAAAGCUGUAUUGGUGGGCCUGCACUCUGGUCGGACUCUAUUGGACCAAACAUCUAUUCGUGUACGUACUAAUUCGAAGUGUUAAUUAAUAAAUAUAAAUUAAUGAUAAAACUAAUGGUACAAAAUAAGACUAAUUUGUAAGAUAAAUCUAUUCGAAUAUAAUUAGUUUAUAAUUUGAUAAUAUAGUACUAGUCAGUAAACUCUUGUUUGAUACGGAGUACGUACUAAUUUGAAGUGUUAAUAAUAAAUAUAAAUUAAUUAUCUUUUUCCUAAUAUAUAAUUGUGAAAAUUUCAGUCCAUUAUAUCUUUAUAUGUCCACCAGUAAGAUUAAUUAAACGAUGCUCCUCUCGUUCGGACCUAAUUUUCUAUUAUUUUUAGCUUAUUUUUCUGUUCAUGGCACGAAGACUCCUAGUCCAAUUGGGUUAGAAAAAAAAAAGAAAGUUAUGGGCUGAAUCUAACUCAGAAGCCUCACACGAGUUUAAACCAAUUUUAGACCGAAACAAGCGAAUAGUUGGGCUCGACUAAAAUCCAAAAUGACUAGAAAUUUUUCCUUUUUUAUUAUUAGAGAAGAAGAAGGAACUAUAGGACUUUGCUUUUUUUUCCUCCGAUUGACAUCUAAAUAAGGGGGUGUUUAGUUUCUCAUAGAAUCCAAAAUGUAAAAUACCAACUACUUUGGAAUGAUGAAAUACAAAAGGCCAAAAUUUUUAGGGUCAUGGUUAGUUCCAUCCAAAAUGCAGAAUUUAUUGUCCUCAUGAGAGCCUCUUGAGACUCUUUUUGGGUUUUUUUUGGUUUCUUAAGGUCAAAAUACAAAAUGGAGAAUAACCACAUUUUUUGCCAAAAUUUUUGCAUAGUGUUUAGUCCAUUUUGCAAAAUGGUUGACCAAAACCUAAAUUUUUUGAAAAAAGGGAAACUAAACACCCCCUAAAUAAAGAAAGUGGAGCAAAAUAAAGAACAUAAUUCUUAUCCUUUUCUAUUUGACUAUUAAGAGUUCUAUUUAGAAUACUUAGGAUGUGAGGAAUCUAUUUAUAUUAAGACUUCUACUCCACAUAUUGGUUUAGACGCAAGUUAUUCUAACUCGUAUGAGCAUGGGUUAUAUAUAUAAGUCCACAUAAAAGAAACAUUUCAUUGUUCGGUAGUUAGAGGAAGAUAGACAAAAAAAUAGAUGGGCAAAAAAAGAGCCUAAAAUUUUACCUCUUUAUUAUUAGAUAUAGAUAUAUAUAAUUAGGUAAUAGAGAUAUAGAUAUGGAUUUGAUAGCUUUUUUUCUCCCGUUGCAACGCACGGGCAUUUUUGCUAGGAAAACUAAUGGUACAAAAUAAGACUAAUUUGCAAGAUAAAUCUACGGCAGCGGAUGGCGGGAACUCGAGGUGGGCGAACACAGUGCCUCCGCCGCCGAGGACACUCACGGGGGUGGUGGCGUUGUUGGUGUAGACUACCCCUGCUCGUUGAGGAGCGCUUGUCAGCAUAGAAGUUAAGUUCAGUUGCUCGUUGAGAGUUCAGUUGCUCGUUGAGGAGUGCUAUAAAGGUACACAGGAUUUGAACAUGAACACUGACUCAGUAAGUGUAUGGCCCUCGCCCUAUUUUAACCUACUGUGAAAUGUCAAUGACCUGUAAUUUAAUUUUGCAGUCAUGGAUGAAUGAGUACAGGCGAUCAGUUCUACAUUAUCUUACCUUCCACCAAUCACAAGUCCUGAGACAGCUGCAAAAGAUAGGUUCAAUCCCUAUGCACUUCUCGUCAUCAGAAGCAGACGUUGUUGUAAUAGCUUGCACGCAGAAGGAAGACACUGAAUCACCAAAGAUGUAUAACAGAAGCUCUUGAAUCACAACAGCUGUAACAGAGCAUGCAACCCAUAUAUAUAUGGGUGCUCCAUACAUAAAGAAGCCGCUGUUAUUAAGUCGUGCGUGCGUUGAGGUCGAUGAUCACGAGUGAUAAAACGACAUUCAGAUUGUCCGUUUUUUGCUGGCGAGGAGCUGGUCCGUGUCUCCGGUUAAAGACAUCGUCCGUCUCCGUUAACCGGAGACUGUGCUUCUAGAGUUAGAUAUUUUGUAAAGAAGUGUGCUGAAUAUGGACACAUGGUAAAAUCAUGAGCCAUUGAGUCCUACAUAUAUACCUAGGACCCUCCUCAUGUGCUAACCAAACCCUCCAUUACCUUGCCUCCACAUUCUGUUAAUCCAAAAAACUACCAUAACUAACAUGUGGUCUCGUACAACCAUUUACUCCUCCGACGAGGAUGGUGACUCUGUCAACAACUACUCCUCCGAUGAGUAUGAUGACUCUGCCCUCUCAUCAGAGCCCUUUAGUAGCGUACCAAAUUCUCCUAAUGACUCUUAUGGAGAGGAGACCGAGUACGACAAGGAGGAGGACGACGAGAGCUCGGACGAGGACGAUGUUGAGGAGAGCUCGGACGAGGACGAUGAAGCGACAGAAGAGGCCAAGAAGAGGAAGCGAGCGAAGGAGCAUAGAGACAAGAAAGGGGCUGCGGAGAAGAGAAGGGUGGGGGAGGAGGAGGAGGAGGAGGAGGAGGAGGAGGUGGACUCGAAGAUGGCCAGGAAGUUUCAGAGUGCAGACUUCGACAUCGACGAUGGUCCCUCCAAUGUCGGUCCUAGGGCUCCUGCUAGUCUCGGUCCCAUGUCAGAUUCAUCGGAGAACUCCUCGAAGGGGUCGUCGUAGAUUAGAUUAUUCUGAUAGUCCGAUUCAGUGUUUUAUUUUACUCCUCACUGUCAGGGGCUCCUAUACAACUGAAAAUUAUAUAAAUUGCAUGCACAAAUCAACAAAUCCAUCUCCAAUAAAUUUCAGUCAAUUUUGCUAAAAAUUUUUUGUGUGUAUGCGAGUUUUUAGUUUUAGAGCCCGACUCUUGACGUGGGGGCGACCUAUAGGUCUAGUCACGCUAUUGUGCACAAAGUUGUUGCUUAAUUAUCAUAUUGAGUCAUCUCCAACAAAUUUUAGUCUAUUUUGCUAAUUGAGUCAUAUCAUGAAGUAGACAUGACUUAUAUCAUGAAGUAGACAUGACUUAUUGAGUCAUAUCAUGAAGUAGACAUGACUUAUACAAUUAAUUUUAUAAUUAAUUUAUAUAAAUUAUACAACUGAAAAUUAUAUAAAUUGCAUGCACAAAUCAACAAAUCCAUCUCCAAUAAAUUUCAGUCAAUUUUGCUAAAAUUUUUUUGUGUGUAUGCGAGUUUUUAGUUUUAGAGCCCGACCCUUAACCGGCAUCAGUUCCCUUAACCGGCAUCAGUUCCCUUAACCGGUGUUAAUUCUCUUAACCGGCGUUAUGUCGCUUAACCGGCGUCAAUUCCCUUAACCGGCGUCAGUAACCUUAACCGGCCUCAAUUCCCUGAACCGGCGUCAAUUCCCUUAACCGGCGUCAGUAACCUUAACCGGCAUCAGUAACCUUAACCGGCAUCAAUUCCCCUUAACCGGCCUCACUUCCCUUAACCGGCGUCAGUUCCCUUAACCGGCCUCAAUUCCCUUAACCGGCCUCAAUUCCCUUAACCGGCCUCAAUUCCCUUAAUCGGCGUGAAUUCCCUUAACCGGCGUCAGUAACCUUAACCGGCAUCAGUAACUUUAACCGGCAUCAAUUCCCCAUAACCGGCCUCAAUUCCCUUAACCGGCGUCAGUUCCCUUAACCGGCGUGAAUUCCCUUAACCGGCGCCAAUUCCCUUAACCGGCGUCAGUAACCUUAACCGGCAUCAGUAACCUUAACCGGCAUCAAUUCCCCUUAACCGGCGUCAGUUCCCUUAACCGGCGUCAAUUCCCUUAACCGGCCUCAAUUCCCUUAAUCGGCCUCAAUUCCCUUAACCGGCAUCAGUAACCUUAACCGGCAUCAGUUCCCUUAACCGGCGUCAAUUCCCUUAACCGGCCUCAAUUCCCUUAACCGGCAUCAGUAACCUUAACCGGCAUCAACUUGAGGACUAGGCUCCCGUGGCGCGCAGGCGAGGGGGCGCGCCGGUGGCAGAUUUUGGCCACUGGAGUGGGGGGAGGGGCGGUGGCGCCGGUGAGGUGUAGUGUGGGGAGCGAGUGCGGGCGAGGCAGGGAGGCGGAGGGGGAGAGAGGCGCCACGUCAGACAUGCCUAUGUGGCGUCACGUAGGCCAAAACAGCCAUUAAAACCACCGAGGUUGAAAAAAGGACGGUUUUAAUAGUUCAGGUGCCCUGAACAACUGGUUUCGUGGUUGAGGGUUUUAAAUCAGUAAACAAUUAUCGUUGUUAUUUUCUUAUAGUUCAAAUGUAAGCCCGAAAUAUUAUUAAAGGAUGCUCAUGGUUAUAUAUAAUUAUUGCCAUAUAACUUCAUGUGUACUCUGUAUUUCAUUUCACUUCAUUAUUCUAAAGAGAUGGCUUAUGUCGAGAAAAGAUGUCUUGAAAUUCAUGUGUACUUUGUUUGGUUCCAUCAUGAUUCUGGGAUUAGCAAGUUCAUGGGGAAGUUGGGGAUUAGUUUUUCUUAUUUGCUAAGCUGAGUUUGCACACGUGUCUUCGUAGAUGACACACUUCAUUUAUACUGUUUAGUAUACUGUUUCGGUCUCGCGCGUACGUGCGGGUGGCUCUUGCGCCACGACUUGCGCUCCUCGGCGAGGCGGCAGCAGGCGACGCCUCCGGACGCCAUCCGACGCGCUAGCUGCUCGCUCUCGCUUGUGGAUGUGGUGGACUCGAGCUUGCGCGCUGUUCGUACCGGCCACGCCGUCGUCUUCGUUCUCUCCGGCGGGGUUACAUGUGAGACCGCGAGGACGGCGGGCCGGGGGUUGAAUAGGGGGUUAGUGCGGAGCGUGGAGGUCAAGCCGAACAGAUAAACACCGAAGGUGCCACUGGCCAGGUAGAGACGUGGUCCCCGCCGUCCGGUAGAUUGGCCGCCGGGACGCCGGUGGGAUCCAGAUAUCAGCGGGAGAAGCGUGAGGGGAAGGUCUGGGACGGGAACGCGGGACUGGGCGUGGGCGCGGCGAGGCUUCGGACGCAAGGCAAGGGGUUCCGUGUUCAAGAGGACCGGUCAUGCUAAAGCAGGCAGGAUGGGACCCGCGAUGGACUGUUGUCGUUGCCGGACAACGGAGACCAGCAGUCGCUGGGCCUUGACUCUUGUGCACGCCACCGCUGCUCCGCGACUGUAGCUGUGACUCGGCCACCAGCACAUGGUGGAGGUGAGCGCGAGAGGUUUAGGGUUUAGGGUUGAUCAAGGUGAACGGGGUGGCGAUGGCUUGGCGAGGAUCCGCGUUCGCGGCGGAACCCAGGAUCCGCGUCUGCGGCGGAACCCCGUUCACCUUGGUCGUAGCGGCCGAAGAUGUCCUGGUGGCCUCGACUUCCCUCCGUCGUGGACGCGGAUCCUCAUGCUUUGGCCGCAAGAAGACGGCGGUGGCCGCAAGGUUAGUCUAGCACCUCUUCAUCGCUUGAUUCUCCCUGAACCAGUGAAUCCCAACUCAAAUCAGUCUGUGAGUUUUCGUUCUUGGUAGAUGAUGCAUUCUCCUCUUUCUUCUUGUAGGUUCGAUUGAAAUUAGGUGCAUCAUAACUAGUAUCACUUACGAACUGCACCAAUGGGGUGGUUAUGGUGGCCUGUGGAAAUCUUCUUUUUAUAUAGUAAAUUUAGGAGUAACUUUUUGGAACAAAACAAGGCCAAGAACCCACAACAGCAGCUGUCACAAUGGAGUCACAAGGACCCGGCAGCUGUUUGCCUUGCCUGCCUCACCCGCUACCGUCGGAUGAUACGUGAACGGCGGAAAACCUUGAUGGGCGAUGGGUUUCAAACCAGAUGGCCGAGGAAUCCAGUUAUCACGCCACAACCGUACAGACUUGCCAUCUCCAAUACGCCACACAACACCUUUUUUAAUCAACUCCAGCCCAUACUCAACGGCCCUCCAUGUCGCCGAAGCAUCAUUAGCUGUUACCGUGUCUAGCAGAUUACCAGAUGGGUAGUAUUUAGCUUUCAAGACUUGCGCACAAAAGCUAUCAGGGCAAAUCAGCAAGCGCCAAGCUUGGCGUGAAAGCAGUGCUUGGUUGAAUAGCUACAAAUCUUUAAAUCCCAUACGCCGUUGACCAGGUCAGUACCGGCUUGCCUCCAUCCCCUCUCUCUGCAAAACUCGUUCCUCCUCGAUGGUGAGCCAAGUUGCACGGGCGGUGGCGUCGCGCUCCAUGACGGCGUUGGCGAGGUCUCCGGUCAUGAGCUGAUUAAGCAAUUUUACUCAUGACGGCGUUGCACGCCUCCUUGGCGAGGCGCUCCUGCUCCUAGCGCUCCUCCUCGGCCUUUUGAUCGGCAGGGUUGGGAGGAGCGGAGGCCUUCUUGGCGGGGUCGAUGAGAUCGGAACCGCCGCCGAGGCCGGGAGCGGAGGGGGCUCCAGUCAUGGCGCGACAGGGAUGGAGGGCGGCGACGCCAGGGGGUAGGGGUCAGCGGCGUCGGUGGCAUCUCGCUAGGGUUGCGAAGUCCUCGUGGAGGCUACCGGCUUAUAGACAUCCACUUAGUUAUGAGUCAUCCACUUAGUUAUGAGACAUCCAUAAAUUUGGGCGAGACAUCUACUCCUCCUUGGCGAGGCGCUCCUGCUCCUAGCGCUCCUCCUCGGCCUUUUGAUCGGCAGGGUUGGGAGGAGCAGCAAUUUUACUCAUGACGGCGUUGCACGCCUCCUUGGCGAGGCGCUCAUGCUCCUAGCGCUCCUCCUCGGCCUUUUGAUCGGCAGGGUUGGGAGGACCAGAGGCCUUCUUGGCGGGGUCGAUGAGAUCGGAACCGCCGCCGAGGCCGGGAGCGGAGGGGGCUCCAGUCAUUUACAGGCGACGAGAUAUUGCAUGUGGAGUGUGCAGUACGUACCGGCUCUGUACCGGCUCUGUUCCUCUAACUAAUCCUGUGGCAUCCUUUUGCUCUGUUAUUAAACUCGUUCAGUAUUGUCAAUUUUCGUCAGUAAUAAACUGCAAGAGGUACUGCAGUCGAUGUGAGUGGUUUGUUCAAUUGAUUAACCACCGAAUGCUUCUGUAAAAAGUGGCCAACACUUCUGAAAGAUAAGAUUAUAGAGUAGUAACAUUUUGUGAUAAAACUAAGACAAGAAAGUACACUAUGCACAAGUUCCUGAAUUCUUACAGAGCCAACUUCUUUGUUUGUUUGUUCUAUUUGUUGUGGUAAAAAAAUUGUGCUUGUUCACUUUCUUGCAGGGGCGGGCCCACGUGUAUUCAUGGGUAUUCAACUGAAUACCCAUUAUUUUUGACAAAAAAAUUUGUAUGUAUAGUGUAUACCAAGCAUAUAUACCAAAACAAACAAAAAAAAAUAGCAUGUGUUCUCAUCAAUUCUAGCCCGUUAAGGCAAAAAGCUCAUCUCCCUCCUCUUCCCGAAGGCCCAAACGGCCCAAACGGUCCAAACCUAAACUCCACCCACCACCAGCCCAUCUGACCAUCUCUGAUUCAGUCGAAUCGUUCCCCAUCGACGCUCAUUCGCUCCCGUCGCGGCUCGCCCUCGCCCUCUCGUCACGCCGUCACCGCGUCGGGCGUCGGCGGGUGCUGACCCUAGGCGGCGGCCGCCGGCCAGCAGCGAACAGCCCAGGCGCGGAGGCGCCCACCAGCGGAGCAGAGAGGGCAGUUCGCGGGAGAAAAGCAGCGGGAAAGGCUGUCCCACGUUCCCUGAUUCCUAGAAUCCAGCUCAGGCUUUCGCCCUCUGCUAAUCCGUCUCCCGAGCCGUGAGAGUGCAAAGAUCGGUAUGGGCUUCUUCAAUUCCCAUUUCCUUUUUUGGUAGAAAACGCAACUCUACUUGUUUUUCGCCGAGAUGCCUUUGGUUGGUUCAUUCGUUGGGUCAUCUGUUUGUUUCUUACCCCAUUGUGAAAUCAGGAUGGAUGAUUUCGUUUCCUUGGUGUAUAGGUCGUACUAGCCAGCAGCCCAGCAAGGCGGCGGCGCGGGCACGCGGCGCGGCACUGCGGCAGGCCAGCAAGGUCCGGGAAGGCGGCGUGCAUCUCUAGGACUCCGAGCUGGGCUCCAGGAAGGUGAGCCGUGAGCCGAUUUGGAUCUGAAAAAUAGAAUAAGAGUCGUUGGACCUGCUGUUAGACCACUAGUGCUAGUGGUGAUUUACGAAUUUUGAUUUCCAUCCGUAAUCCGUUUCUGAUUGCAACUUGUGUGUUGCGUGAUUACGAAUUUUAUGUGAGAAAGGAAGACAGUAGUGCUACUACUACUGAUUUGAGGCAAUUUUUUUGCAAAGGAAGGCAUUUUAGGUUCAAAUCUAUAGGAUGCAAAUUUUCUUAUAAAUUGGUUGUUUUAUCAUCUAUUUAUUUCAGACAUUGAAGCUUUGAUAUGUUGUGUUGAAUAUCUUCAAAUUUGAAGUAAUUUUAUUAAUCGAUGAUGUUUGUACUCGAUUUUUUGUUGUGCAUUAAUAAUUUAGCCCGUCUAUAAAAAAAAUGUUCUGUUAUUUAAAAAUUUGAAUACCCAUGUUCAAAAUCCUAGGCCCGCCCCUGCUUUCUUGUGGUAUGAUUGUCCAAUAUUUCAGUUGUUUGUUCACUUUGUACACUUAACUAGUAUGUUCAAGAUGAUGUGGUAAAUUUUGUUGUGCUUGUUCACUUGGUUGCUUCUUCAAAAUUACGUGUAUGAAAUAUGGUGCUGAAAUAUAAUCAAAUUUGUAUAGUUUGUUUGGUAGUUUUUGUCCUGUUCUUGCGUUAGUAUUACUGAUAUAGGGUUCUGAUAUUGUCCAAUACAGUUUCAAGUGUUAAUGCAUCUGGUGCUGAAAUAGUCCAAUAGUAUUACUGAUAUAUGGUGCUGAAAUUGCUGUAGCAUUACUGAUAUAUGGCGCUGCAGGUCUCGUUCGAGGAGAGCAAGGGCACGGUCAUCUGUUGCUGUCCAAGGAAAGCUGGAAGGUACGCAUUUCCUCCCUGUCUCCUCUUUCUUCCUCCCUUUUCCCCUCGUUCCUUGUGUACUGUGCAUCUGGCUGUGCUUUGGAUUUUGCUAUGAACACUUCAUUAUAUGUUUAAAUAUCUGACGCUCCGUUAGUCGUUCAGAUCUAGUUUAUAUUGUCUCUACUAUGUCUUUGUAUGUGUUAAGUUCAUUCACUGUAACAUCCCGGGUGCGCUGUAGUAUGAUCGUCUACUUCUGUAUCUGGCCUCAUUUCAGGGCCCAUAUGGUGUAGCUCUAGUGUUAUCGCAUAAAUUCUUUAGGUUGCUAUAUCUCAUAGUAAUUGUGUAUACUUAUCUGCAAUUAGAUUGUCCACAUUCACAUUAUGAAGCACUCAGUUGGCUAGUGAUGUAUGCCAGGCAUUAUCCAUGCACUUGUUUAAUUUAUAAACGUGUGCACUUGGUGAUUCAUUUCAUUCUGAACCAUGAACUCGUUAUUUUUGUGAUGAAUCUGCAUCUCACGGAAAAUCUAAAUGUUAAGGUCAUCAAGUUCAUGGUCCUAGCUAGUGUAUUCAGAUUAGGAGUCAUGGUCAUAUUCUGUGGUCAUAUUCAGAUGCUUCUGUAAAUGUUAGUUUCUAUCUAUCCUAAUUUCUAUCUCUGAAUAUGGAUUUGUUCUAAUUUGUAUCUUGUUUUUUUUAUCUUGUUCUAUCUAUAGUUAGGUUGUUUCUUUUUUGAAGUCACGUUGGUGUGUACUAGUGACAGUAUCUUAGACACAAAAAAAUUCACUCGCAGUGCAUAAUUUGACAAGUCUAGGAUACGCUUUGAAGCAGAUCGUUCGAUUUGCUCUUGAUUGUUACUUUUUUAUACAUUUAAAAAUUAAUUGGCUGCUGGUUUCAGCAUAUUCUACUGAUGAUAGUUGACUUGCAAGUUGACACAACUUAUCGUUUUCUCUAGUUUUUCGCCGAGAUGCCUUUGGUUGGUUCAUUCGUUGGGUCAUCUGUUUGUUUCUUACCCCAUUGUGAAAUCAGGAUGGAUGAUUUCGUUUCCUUGGUGUAUAGGUCGUACUAGCCAGCAGCCCAGCAAGGCGGCGGCGCGGGCACGCGGCGCGGCACUGCGGCAGGCCAGCAAGGUCCGGGAAGGCGGCGUGCAUCUCUAGGACUCCGAGCUGGGCUCCAGGAAGGUGAGCCGUGAGCCGAUUUGGAUCUGAAAAAUAGAAUAAGAGUCGUUGGACCUGCUGUUAGACCACUAGUGCUAGUGGUGAUUUACGAAUUUUGAUUUCCAUCCGUAAUCCAUUUCUGAUUGCAACUUGUGUGUUGCGUGAUUACGAAUUUUAGGUGAGGAAGGAAGACAGUAGUGCUACUACUACUGAUUUGAGGCAAUUUUUUUGCAAAGGAAGGCUUAUAGGUUCAAAUCUAUAGGAUGCAAAUUUUCUUAUAAAUUGGUUGUUUUAUCAUCUAUUUAUUUCAGACAUUGAAGCUUUGAUAUGUUGUGUUGAAUAUCUUCAAAUUUGAAGUAAUUUUAUUAAUCGAUGAUGUUUGUACUCGAUUUUUUGUUGUGCAUUAAUAAUUUAGCCCGUCUAUAAAAAAAAUGUUCUGUUAUUUAAAAAUUUGAAUACCCAUGUUCAAAAUCCUAGGCCCGCCCCUGCUUUCUUGUGGUAUGAUUGUCCAAUAUUUCAGUUGUUUGUUCACUUUGUACACUUAACUAGUAUGUUCAAGAUGAUGUGGUAAAUUUUGUUGUGCUUGUUCACUUGGUUGCUUCUUCAAAAUUACGUGUAUGAAAUAUGGUGCUGAAAUAUAAUCAAAUUUGUAUAGUUUGUUUGGUAGUUUUUGUCCUGUUCUUGCGUUAGUAUUACUGAUAUAGGGUUCUGAUAUUGUCCAAUAUAGUUUCAAGUGUUAAUGCAUCUGGUGCUGAAAUAGUCCAAUAGUAUUACUGAUAUAUGGUGCUGAAAUUGCUGUAGCAUUACUGAUAUAUGGCGCUGCAGGUCUCGUCCGAGGAGAGCAAGGGCACGGUCAUCUGUUGCUGUCCAAGGAAAGCUGGAAGGUACGCAUUUCCUCCCUGUCUCCUCUUUCUUCCUCCCUUUUCCCCUCGUUCCUUGUGUACUGUGCAUCUGGCUGUGCUUUGGAUUUUGCUAUGAACACUUCAUUAUAUGUUUAAAUAUCUGACGCUCCGUUAGUCGUUCAGAUCUAGUUUAUAUUGUCUCUACUAUGUCUUUGUAUGUGUUAAGUUCAUUCACUGUAACAUCCCGGGUGCGCUGUAGUAUGAUCGUCUACUUCUGUAUCUGGCCUCAUUUCAGGGCCCAUAUGGUGUUGCUCUAGUGUUAUCGCAUAAAUUCUUUAGGUUGCUAUAUCUCAUAGUAAUUGUGUAUACUUAUCUGCAAUUAGAUUGUCCACAUUCACAUUAUGAAGCACUCAGUUGGCUAGUGAUGUAUGCCAGGCAUUAUCCAUGCACUUGUUUAAUUUAUAAACGUGUGCACUUGGUGAUUCAUUUCAUUCUGAACCAUGAACUCGUUAUUUUUGUGAUGAAUCUGCAUCUCACGGAAAAUCUAAAUGUUAAGGUCGUCAAGUUCAUGGUCCUAGCUAGUGUAUUCAGAUUAGGAGUCAUGGUCAUAUUAUGUGGUCAUAUUCAGAUGCUUCUGUAAAUGUUAGUUUCUAUCUAUCCUAAUUUCUAUCUCUGAAUAUGGAUUUGUUCUAAUUUGUAUCUUGUUUUUUUAUCUUGUUCUAUCUAUAGUUAGGUUGUUUCUUUUUUGAAGUCACGUUGGUGUGUACUAGUGACAGUAUCUUAGACACACAAAAAUUCACUCGCAGUGCAUAAUUUGACAAGUCUAGGAUACGCUUUGAAGCAGAUCGUUCGAUUUGCUCUUGAUUGUUAUUUUUUUAUACAUUUAAAAAUAAAUUGGCUGCUGGUUUCAGCAUAUUCUACUGAUGAUAGUUGACUUGCAAGUUGACACAACUUAUCGUUUUCUCUAUUGUAGGACAGCAGGUCCCCAGAUGAAGAGUCAGAAGUUGGGCGCACAAGGAGAAAGAGAUGAGCGCUUGUGUAUUGACUUUGGCUUUAAGGCCCAAGAGGUUAUGGAAGCAGCGGCUUGUCUUGAUGAAGCAGAGCGAGAUGAAGUUAAGCAACUUGGGUAUGGAGCUUUCCUAAACCUAAAGUUGGGACCAAUCAGCCAGCGCAAGGAAACCUAUCUGUGUAUGGAGCUAGUUGAUCUGGAAGAGGAUGCGAUCAAGGUGCAGCUACAAAAUGAUGUAAUUGUAUACAUCAGACCAGAUGAGAUCUAUGAUCUCUUGAUGCUGCCCCAAGGUACUAAGGCCCCCCUCAAGUACAAUUCGCAACAACAUGAGGACUUUGCUCGAUUGAAGGCUGAAUUGGGUGAAACGUUGUUGGACACUGCGAAUAUAUUGAAGUUUAUGAAAAAAGAGGAGAACAAACAUUUGAAGGUCAAAUGUUUUUUCAACAUUCUCUUUUCAAGAUUUCUAAUGCCUACCACUUCACAAAGUAUAAACGUACAUGCAGUGAUGUACACAAGGAAUUUGGCAAGCCUCAAGGAAUAUAACAUGUGUAAAAUAGUGUAUGAGCAUCUCAGGGGUUCUAUCAAAAUUUGGAAGGAGCAGAGGCAGAAUGCAAAAAACAAGGCAUCACUUACUAUGCCUGGUUGCCCAAUCAUAGUUCUGGUAAGCAUUCUGGUGCUCUCAUCAAUUACUAGCUUUUUUUACCUGCCCAGCUAGCUGUCAUCUUUGGAUUUUUUUUAUCGUGCUUGAGUUGCCUGCUUCAUAUGGAUUUGAUGUGCCUGCUUCACAGUUAACUUGUUUAACUGUAUAUUCGGUUGUCAGGGAUUUAUUGUCGAUAAUUUGAAACUGACGGAUAGUGUAAACAAGAAUCGUCCUCGGCUCAAUGAGUAUGAUAUGGCGACUUUGACGGAUACUAUUCGUAAGGCUAAGGUCAAUGGCAGGAUCUCCUUCGAGAACUUUGAGGUAUUGAUCAUCUCUUUAUCUUGAAAGCAUACUAUGCCGUACUUGGCUUCAUAUCUUACAUCUUCUCUUCAAUUUCCCAUUUCAGUUGAAAUCUCUAGAGGAGAUCUGCUAUGCGCCAUCAUCAAGAUUUUGCAUCCAGUCCGCAGUUGACUCCCAAGAUGUAAGAUCUGCUAUGGUGACUUCUGCCGUGGUAACUUUGCCUGAGUCUCAAGAAGCUAUCCAGUCCGCAGUUCAGAUCCUUUCUUCAGUGCAGAAUCCUGAAUCUUUUGGAGUUGACCGAGCAAAUCUUGAUGCAUGCAUAGCUGGAUUAUCUGCAUUGCAGCCAGUUGGUGCUUCCUGCAGCAAUGUUGGUGCCUCCUGCAGCAUUUCUGAAGCUGCUGAAGCUACCAGCACAAAGAAGGCUGAUGAAGAAGAGACCAUUGCAUUGCAGCCAGUUGGCUCUUCCUGCAGCAAUGUUGGUGACUCCUCCAGCAUUUCUGACAACACAAAGAAGGCUGCUGCUGCUGCGGUGCCUGAAGCUGCCAACACAGCUGUGCAUGAAGAAGGGAUUUCUAAAGCUGCCAAGUCAAGAAGCCGUGCUACCAAGACGCCUGGUCUACCAACAAGGAGGAGCGCGAGGCUCAAUGCUGCUGCUGUUGAGCCCAAUGCUGCUGUUGAGCCCGGUGAUGUAAUUUCACCAAUUAAGUCACCAAUUAAGAAGCUAGCCAAAAAAAACAAAAACAAGUAAGAAGAACGUUGAUGAGCCUAGUUCCCCGUGCUACUGCAAGUUGCUCCCUAGCUAUGACGCAGCAGGGUGUCAGUGUGUCACCUCUGCUGUGUUUUGAGCUGUUCUUUUGCCCCGCUGUGGGUGUGUGUUAAAACUUGUUGACGUUGAAGCCAUGACUUGCUAGUUUUUUUCUUCACAUUCAGAUUUCAGGAGCUUGUCCUGGUUGCAGAACUAGUGGAAGAAGGCACGCCUGAAAGAAGGAAGAAGUGAUCCUGCUGCUAAUGCAUGAUAGGUUGUACAUACAGUAGCUGGUAGCUGGUAGCUGGUAGCUGGCGGUAGUAGAUGUAUAUUUUGAAGCUGCAAUGCUGCAGGGCUGUUAUCUAGAAAGAGGGCUGGUUGCCAUGAAACUCCUCAAUACCGUAUUUGUUAAUGCCUAGUUCUUUAGCUCGAGGUUGCCGCCGAAAUGGAGUACUUUAAAACCCCUUGUUGAAGCUAAAACCUUCCUCGUAAAACCGGUUUUAUUAUGUCGUCGAGCAGACCAUUAAAUAUUAAGUAUGAACUUUGUGCUUUCUGGCGAGAUAGUACUUCAGGUUUUACUAUUUCUCUCUGGGCUACUAAAAUCUCCUUUAUAAAACCGGCUUUAUUAUACCGUCGAGCAGAUGAGCACUUCGGGUUUCACUCGAUGUCUCUGGGGUGCUAAAACCUUACUGAAUAGAUGUAUCCAUAUCAAAAGUAAAUAUGAGACGUCGGUAAAGUGUGAUGACUGCUUUUUUUCAACGUUAUUUAGUAUGAAAUAAGUUGUAAGGAGACAAAGUUUCAGUUAAUAUUACCUACUCUAUGCAGACAUCCAUUUGGGGGAGGGAAAAAAAGUUAAUUAGUUGAGUGGAGCCUUGCAAAGAAAUAUUGCUUCCACUUAGAGGGUCAUCAUCUACAACUAAUUAACUUUCAAAUUAAUAAAAAGCAGGAUGCAUUAUAAGCAGGAUGCAUUACAAACUCGUCCCAAUUUCGUUUACGCGCGGCCCACUGCGGAAGGCCGAGCCCAGCAGCCUGUUUACAGCCCUCCCCGCUCCGCCACCCUCCCGACCAGAUCUGAACUCUCCCUCAGACCUCGCUCAACCCUCCCCGCUCCUCCUCCCCACCUGCGCCGCCGCCACCUUCACCGUCGCCCCGAGCCGCCGCCGCCACCGCCGCCUUCGUCUCACCGGCGCCAUCAAAAGAUUCUUCACCCUCUUCUCACCGGCAGACAGCAGGUUCAGGUCAGUAAUCGACCAUUAUGAUUUAGAUGAUUAGUUGAAGUUAGUUUAGGUACCACAUUUGAAGGGGAAAUGAUGGCGCAAAGGGUAUCUUCUGCAUGUUUCCAUGAUGUCCUUGGCGAGGCGCUCCUGCUCCUAGCGCUGCUCCUCGGCCUUUUGAUCGGCAGGGUUGGGAGGAGCGGAGGCCUUCUUGGCGGGGUCGAUGAGAUCGGAACCGCCGCCGAGGCCGGGAGCGGAGGGGGCUCCAGUCAUGGCGCGACAGGGAUGGAGGGCGGUGACGCCAGGGGGUAGGGGUCAGCGGCGUCGGUGGCAUCUCGCUAGGGUUGCGAAGUCCUCGUGGAGGCUACCGGCUUAUAGACAUCCACUUAGUUAUGAGUCAUCCACUUAGUUAUGAGACAUCCAUAAAUUUGGGCGAGACAUCUACUCCUCCUUGGCGAGGCGCUCCUGCUCCUAGCGCUCCUCCUCGGCCUUUUGAUCGGCAGGGUUGGGAGGAGCAGCAAUUUUACUCAUGACGGCGUUGCACGCCUCCUUGGCGAGGCGCUCCUGCUCCUAGCGCUCCUCCUCGGCCUUUUGAUCGGCAGGGUUGGGAGGAGCGGAGGCCUUCUUGGCGGGGUCGAUGAGAUCGGAACCGCCGCCGAGGCCGGGAGCGGAGGGGGCUCCAGUCAUGGCGCGACAGGGAUGGAGGGCGGCGACGCCAGGGGGUAGGGGUCAGCGGCGUCGGUGGGAUCUCGCUAGGGUUGCGAAGUCCUCGUGGAGGCUACCGGCUUAUAGACAUCCACUUAGUUAUGAGUCAUCCACUUAGUUAUGAGACAUCCAUAAAUUUGGGCGAGACAUCUACUCCUCCUUGGCGAGGCGCUCCUGCUCCUAGCGCUCCUCCUCGGCCUUUUGAUCGGCAGGGUUGGGAGGAGCAGCAAUUUUACUCAUGACGGCGUUGCACGCCUCCUUGGCGAGGCGCUCUUGCUCCUAGCGCUCCUCCUCGGCCUUUUGAUCGGCAGGGUUGGGAGGAGCGGAGGCCUUCUUGGCGGGGUCGAUGAGAUCGGAACCGCCGCCGAGGCCGGGAGCGGAGGGGGCUCCAGUCAUUUACAGGCGACGAGAUAUUGCAUGUGGAGUGUGCAGUACGUACCGGCUCUGUUCCUCUAACUAAUCCUGUGGCAUCCUUUUGCUCUGUUAUUAAACUCGUUCAGUAUUGUCAAUUUUCGUCAGUAAUAAACUGCAAGAGGUACUGCAGUCGAUGUGAGUGGUUUGUUCAAUUGAUUAACCACCGAAUGCUUCUGUAAAAAGUGGCCAACACUUCUGAAAGAUAAGAUUAUAGAGUAGUAACAUUUUGUGAUAAAACUAAGACAAGAAAGUACACUAUGCAAGAAAGUACACUAUGCACAAGUUCCUGAAUUCUUACAGAGCCAACUUCUUUGUUUGUUUGUUCUAUUUGUUGUGGUAAAAAAAUUGUGCUUGUUCACUUUCUUGCAGGGGCGGGCCCACGUGUAUUCAUGGGUAUUCAACUGAAUACCCAUUAUUUUUGACAAAAAAAUUUGUAUGUAUAGUGUAUACCAAGCAUAUAUACCAAAACAAACGAAAAAAAAUAGCAUGUGUUCUCAUCAAUUCUAGCCCGUUAAGGCAAAAAGCCCAUCUCCCUCCUCUUCCCGAAGGCCCAAACGGCCCAAACGGUCCAAACCUAAACUCCACCCACCACCAGCCCAUCUGACCAUCUCUGAUUCAGUCGAAUCGUUCCCCAUCGACGCUCAUUCGCUCCCGUCGCGGCUCGCCCUCGCCCUCUCGUCACGUCGUCACCGCGUCGGGCGUCGGCGGGUGCUAACCCUAGGCGGCGGCCGCCGGCCAGCAGCGAACAGCCCAGGCGCGGAGGCGCCCACCAGCGGAGCAGAGAGGGCAGUUCGCGGGAGAAAAGCAGCGGGAAAGGCUGUCCCGCGUUCCCUGAUUCCUAGAAUCCAGCUCAGGCUUCAGGUCAGUAAUCGACCAUUAUGAUUUAGAUGAUUAGUUGAAGUUAGUUUAGGUACCAUAUUUGAAGGGGAAAUGAUGGCGCAAAGGGUAUCUUCUGCAUGUUUCCAUGAUGCUAUGGUGUAUUAUUUUUUUAGACACAAAAAUCAUGAGGAGCACUGAAUCCAAACAUAGGUACAACACUCACUAAGAAGUCUACUGGAGACUGGAGUAACUAAAUUGUUAGCUGACCCUACCCUGUUCCAAUUUCAUAGUGUUUACUUUUUUCUACAUAUAGUUUGGAUAUCAUGUAACAUCUUGGGUCAAAGGCCAAAGGCAAGUUUGCAUGGCGAUAUGACCGAUCUCCUUACGGACUCGAGGACUGCAUCAUAGAACUUGAGGUCGCCAUCGUCGAGCGCGUAGGAGACGCAGAGCCGUGCGUCGGCUCGGAGAUCACGGCACUGGGUGUAUUCCAUGGCCUUGGAUCACACACGAAACCUGGCGCAGAGCACUCUCCUGGUCUCUUGGCCCUCCGCCAGAGCCACUAGAGCAAUAGCAAUGGCACCCUCCACGAGCUCCCUCAGUCCCGCAACCCUAGCGUAAAUCCUGCAGGGGCACGCCAUGGAUCCCGCUGCCUCCACCCGCGCUAGUAGAGCUCGUGACGUACAUCUGCAUGCCUGCGCCUCCUUCCCCUCCCCUCAGCCGCCUCAUUCUCUACAUUUUUUACAGCAGCAUCUCUCUCGGGUAUCAUCUAUGUUUGGAUUUUGUUCAAAGGUAUGAUGGUUACUCUACUUCGUAGAUCCCCAUUCUUUAAUAGUUGCUUUCCAGUUUCUUCUGUAUCAACCAACUCUUUUGUGAGCUCCUCUGCUCUGUUUGGAUUUUGUUCAAAGGUAUGAUGGUUACUCUACUUCGUAGAUCCCCAUUCUUUAAUAGUUGCUUUCCAGUUUCUUCUGUAUCAACCAACUCUUUUGUGAGCUCCUCUGCUCUUCUUUUCAUAUCAGCCGCCUCAUUCUCUACAUUUUUUACAGCAGCAUCUCUCUCGAGUAUAGACCUUAAAAAUAAAAAAACUAUUAACUUUUUUAGGAGUCAAUGGGCCGAUGGACGCGCUGUAAAGUGGAAACAACCACCGCCUUUUCUCUCGUCCCUCAAAGUCGGCUGGCUUGCAAAUGUCCAAUAGAUGCGUCUUGUUUGGAUUUUGUUCAAAGGUAUGAUGGUUACUUUACUUUGUAGAUCCCCAUUCUUUAAUAGUUGCUUUCCAGUUUCUUCUGUAUCAACCAACUCUUUUGUGAGCUCCUCUGCUCUUCUUUUCAUAUCAGCCGCCUCAUUCUCCAAAGUUAGCCGAGUGUCUCGCGUCCACGUCCCCGUCGCCGCCGAAGUCGAAGUCGAAUCACCGUGCGUUGUGUGCGUGUCGGUGUGGUUUCUCGCACACGUUAGGGUUGGGUUUAUAACAAACGAAUGGUUCUCACGGACGGCGGCACUUGGCAUGCGGCAGGGCAACGCCUCGGCUUCGUUGAAUAGGUCAACUGAAUGGUACCAUCCUAUUCAGUUUUGUUCAGCCCCCGAGCCCUCGGAAGGUUCGCACUCGGGGGUAGAGUUUUUCCGCCCUCGGAAGGUUCACACUCGGGGGUAGAGUUUUUCCGCAAUCUUUUUCACCCUUCUAUCAAGUUUUACUGUUAACUAUAUUUACACCCUUCUAUCACUAUAUUUACAGUGACUUUUUCAAUGUAAUUUAUUGAAUAGAGUGGUGUAAUUUGAUAAUAACCCAAAUAUAUGUCAAAAUUUUUCAAACAAACAAGAGGACGAUGAAGCCGUCCAUGGUAACCCAUUGGGUGAAAUCUGGCUCGGCGUGAUGCCGAAGUGGGCAAGCACCUCGAGGAAGAACACGUGUAGCAGGACGCGCAUGCCGGCCUCCAUCACCACACAGAGACCAACAUUGGUGGACCAGAGGGAUUGCACAGCAAUCAGAUAUUAGACUCUGGAACCAGGUUGGCAGUUACAAUAGUAGCAUACAUCUCAGGCAUAUAUUCAUAGAAGGAUCCUUGGUUCAGCUAACACAUAAUAGUUCAUUAGUCCAUACCAGUACUCUACACAGUUCAUUAGUACCCUACACAGUUCAUUAGUACCCUACACCAACAAAAGGCACCAGACGACUCAGGCACAGGAGCAGCUUCGAUGACAGAUGGCAUGGAAACAGAGUACCAGGUGGAGUGAGGUUGACACAUGGGCAACCUCUAUAUUAUGGCUUCAGCACCUCCCUAAGUUCAUUAGCAGAAGUCCAUCAUCCUAAGUGCAUUAGCCUAAGGGGCCAGAAUAAGUCGGCUGAAUGCUUCAUCCGCCCCAUUCAUAUGUCCCACUACAAACCACCCAAUCAAUGCGAAAAGAACACACAGUGCCACACUCCCAGGUUUCACUGUAAUUUUCAGCUUUUGAGGCUCAUUCUUCAUCAGUCGCAGCUCAUUCUUCAUCAGUCCCAAUGAAUCAGCCGUCGAUUCCACAUGUUGAUCCACGGUUGCCAGCAGCUCAGUCUUCAUCAGUUCUAAUGCAGUAGCCGUCGAUUGCUUGUGUUGAUCCAUGGCUGCCAGCAGCUCAGUCUUCAUCAGUUCUAAUGCAGCACCCACCUCUACCAUCUUGAGCUCCAGGUUUUCCUUCGUCUCUCUGAUGGAUUUGGUAAGAGAAUCGAUGGCUUGCUCAUAAUCAUUAAGUGCUAUCAUUAACAACUGAGUGACAUGGGGAGGAUCAGAGAUAAUCCCAUCCUUGAUUAACAAAAUAGCAUAGCUCCCUUCCCAGUGGAAAAAAUCACAUGACCUCCCAUCCUGUAUAGAAGAAAAAUGGAAUAUGGUCACGUGAUGGUUGAAGUGGAUCAUAUCAUUUGGUGAUUGGUUGGUACAUGUGUUGCAUCAACAUUGGAGGAGAUGGAAUGGAAUGCGCAAGGCAAAGGUAUAACCUAGGGCAUUUCCAUUUCACCGGUCAUAGGUGUGUAGAGAAGUUUAUGACCGGAUUUAGGAUAGAUGGCCGUACUAUCAAGAGGGGCAAACUUGUUUGCAUAUCGGUCAUCUAGUGCCACUUGAGCGAUCUAACUUUGCAUAGGUGUUAGGAUCGAGUGGGGUGGCAAGUUGAGAGGCUAACUCCUUUGGGAAAUUGUUUGUGAAAAGCUAACACACUUGCACAUUCGGCGCUUUUAAGAAAAUUAAGUGCAUAUUUUCUAUUGCGUCGGUGGGAAAUUUGAAGAAGUCGCAGGAGUGUUUCUCGUGGACGCUGGUGUUGGCAGCACCGGACGCUGGUCCAGAGCGUCCGGUGUGGUGUCUUUGACUCAGUGUGCAGAGCGCACCGGACGCUGGCACCGGACGCUGGGCGGUUACUGUUCGAGCGUCCGGUGAUGCGUGACGACAGCGAGUGCACGCGAGGAGUUUCUGACCGGCGAGCACCAGACGCUCAGGGUGCGUCCGAUGGUUUACGUCCGGUGACCGUGCGAGUUUGCAGAGGUGGACUCGUUGAGCGUCCGGUGGUGCUGUGCAGGCGCGCGUGCGCAGUAGCCGUUGGCGGCAACGGUCGAGUUCAAACGGCUAGUGACACGUGGCUGACGCCUGAGCACCGGACGCUUGGGGUUGAGCGUCCGGUGGCUCCUUAUGAGCGUCCCGUGCCCUCGUGUUUUGCCCAGUGAAGGGGCAACGGCUAGUUUAGCCCUUGGGGCUAUAAGUAGAAGUGGUGGCCGGCCUUGACCGGUGCUGAGCACCCUUGGGACUUAGUGUCCAUGCUUGGGGAGUGCUAGGAAAGCCUCUAACUCACUUGUGCUUGCAAGAGUCAAUAGCGAGUGAGUGAUUCUAGUGCGUUGCAUUGAGAGAUUGCAUCUAGUGGCACUAGGUGUUCGUGUUGCAAGCCAGUGGUGCUUGUUACUUUUGGAGGUUGCCACCUCCUAGACGACUUGGUGGCUUGUGACUCCGUCGAAGCACGCAAGGAGAUUGUGCGGUGCUCCGGAGAAUAGAUUGUGAGGGGUAUGGUGCUCACCCCGCGGGGAUCGCGAAGAGCAACUCUAUUGGAUCGUGCGUGUCAUUGAGCUACCUCAUUUGUGGGUAGGUUCUUGCGGUGUCCUAGUGGGGACGAGGUUCGUGUAACACCUCUUAGCCGCCGAACCACCAAGUGUUGGUCGACACAACGGGGACGUAGCUUGGUGGCAACCAAGUGAACAUCGGGAGAAAAUCAUCGUGUCAACUUUGUUCUUCCCGUUGGUUUGCAAGUCCCUAACACAAGCUUGUUUUUUACAUUCAUAUAUUUGUGCUUGUGUAGUUGCUCUUGUAAUUAGUUAGCUUGUGUAGCUUGCUAGUUACCUUCUUGCUUGUGUAGCUAGAAGUAGUUCCCUUGCGUGACUAAUUUGGUUUGUGUAACCUUGUUAGUCACAUUGCUUAGUUUGUGUAGCUAAGCAAUUUGCGCUCUCUAAUUUGGCAUUAGUUGCCUUAUUAUUGAGCAUUGCUAGUGAGCUUAGGAGCUUUGUGCUUUUUGCUUACUAGUUGUGUAGGAGCUUCCCAGUUUGCAAAGUACUAGUUGCAUAGGUUUGUGUGACCUUGCUUCUAGAUUUGGUUAGGUGAACUCUUGCUAAGGUAGCACCUUACUUGCUUGUUUAGGAUCUUUUCAAGGUGUUAGAGAACUUAGAUAGAGGGGUAUAGUCUUGGCUAGACCGAUAGUUUUAAUUCCGCAUUUGUUUCGGUUAGCCGGCGCGAUAAAUUUAGAAAGGACUAUUCACCCCUCUCUAGUCCGCCAUCUCGACCCUUCACGGUGUCGUUGUCGCCGUCGACUAGUGGUGAAGCUAGAGCAAAUAAAAAGGUGGUGCAUUUCUUUUAUAAAAACAUAAACUCUGGCUAUAAUCAUGAUGAAAAAUUGAUUUACUUAAUGAUGUUUAAUUUUUUUUGGGUGUACGUGCACACACUGCCUUGUAUGUGGCUUCGCCACUGCCGUCGACUCCGGCGACGAUGGAUGUCCGUACGUGCGACGCUGGAGGAGACUAAGGUCACGACGUCGUCGGCGAGGUGGAGGCUCGGUGCUACAGCUGCUCGCCGAGGUGGUGCCGUGGCCGGUGCGCACGCCGCGGCUGCUGCCGCACGGUGAACGGCGAGGCGAGGGCGAAGAGCAGCAGGUGGAGGAGAGGUCGCGGCCGUGGACGUGGUGCUGCGUGCGCGCCCAACACGGCAGUCGUGUGGCUCCAUGGCGGCAGCGGCGUGGUCGCACCGUCGCGGCCAUGGCGGCCUUGGGGGCUGGGAAGGUAGGCAGAGGGGAUGCUGUGGCGGCUGGCGUGCGGAGUAGGUGAGGCGAGGCUGGUCGAGGGUCUUUAUAGCCAGGCGACUAGGGCUCGGCGCAGGGAGAGGCGUCCUUGCAGGUGGCCGUGAUCGUCUGAGUGCGUGCUCGCGGACACGCGGCCUCCAUCCGCGGCUCAUGUAGGUGAGCGAGCCGAGAAGGUUCGAGAAGCACUCGGCCGCGUUAGUCCGAGGCGUGGUCAAGAUGAGUCCGCACUGGCGUAGGCAGCAACGAUGGGAAAUGGAGCUGCGCCGUCGGAAGGGAAGAGGGAGCGCGUACGGUCGGAGGAAAAAGGAAACGACGCUGGCCGCUGGAUGGAAAAGAGACGGAGAUUCGGCGUCAUCCCGUGCGUGUGCUUUGCUCGUGAGAGGGUAGGGCUGGCUGCCCCUUGUGCUUAGCUGGGCUGGUUCAGUCCUCAGUCGGCUGCAUGGGCCAAGACCGAAAGGAGUGGCCUAGGAACAGCAGUGGAUACAUGUUGAGUGCAGUGCCGUGCAUGGUUGCUUGGCUAAAUACGUGGUUCACGUACAAACAAAGACACAGGAGCAUGCAGCUUGGUGCCACGUACUGCCACACCACGUGCAUGCACAGGAAUUAGGAGAUGGAAAUUAGGAAAGAGGGGGCCUGGUGAUUAGAGAUUAAAUAGGGAAUUAGGAGAAAACUACCUCCAAGCACAAAAAAAAGAACCAAACAUUCAUGCAUCUAACUAAACAUGGUGCAUAAAAAUAUUUGUAAAUCCAGUUCGAAGAAGAUGGGAGAGAGUUGGGGUUUGUGUUUUAGGAAAUAAUAAAUCAUAAGUAAUGCUGCAUGUUAAAUUCGAGUGCGGCUCGAAUUCAACCAAGGUUUUAAUUUUUCUCCGAAAACAUUUUAUUUGAAAACGUCGUUUGUCAUGUAGGUGAUCAAUCCAGGUGACAACGGUUUGUUGUAAAAAGUUUUUAAGAUCGGAUUUUGAAUUUGGGCAGGAAGGAGAAGCAUUUGACUUAAGUUCGACCUAACAAUUCACAUGCAACACACAUUCAAACAAAAUUUUUAACAAGUCGGGAUUUUUCUAUUACACAAAUUCUCGGAAUGUUACAUUGAAACUCUUCUGCAUUGUUUCCAAAAUAUAGAUGUGUUGAAAACAAACUCAUGAAACCCUACAGAGGAUGGUCUUAUCGGAGUCAUUGUAGAAUCAUGGGCAGUGACCAAGGAGAAAAUAAUUCGACCAAUGAAGAGAGUUGUAUGCAAAUAGUUAAAUUAAUUAGACCAGUGAGAGGAGCCGCAUGUGCUUAAAAAAGAUAAAAAUAAUUAUUCCUAGUUUAGAUAACUCUGAUUUUUAAAGAAUUUUUUCGGGUAAACUACGAUAAAUAGAUGGAGAGAGAGUACGUGCCAAGCACGCUUUCGGAUAAAGAAGUUCAAAAGGAGGAUGGUUGUAACAUCAGUCUUCCCAAUACUAGAAAUUAUAUAUAGUUGUUAUAUUUAUCAAUUUUGAUAGACACUUCAUAUAAAAAUCAUAGUUCAUGGAUAAUUUCUACAAAUCAAUAUUUUAUCAAAUCGCAUAUAUUCUACCUCCAUUCUCUCUGUCAAUCAUAUUCCUCUGCGUCUUGGUUCUCGUGUAAACAUGAUUUUGUCUUGGUUCUCGUGUAGACAUGAUUUUUAACUUAGACCUAGUUUGUAUGAUUCUUAUCUCUUUUCAAUAACUACUUUGUUACAUCAGCAAAAACACUAUAUGACAAUAUAAUUAAUGUUCAUAUAAACUAUGAUGGUUUCUGUAUUAAAAGUGUACUUAGUGCAUCAUCAUUCAUCAAUGAACAAUUGACAGCCAUGGACAUUAACUUCUCAGCAUACAAACUCUUAGUCUUAAAUGAAAUAGAGUGAAUUCCAUUGAGAAAUUUUAAGAUUUUCUUAACCUGGAGAAAGGCUUUGCGAGUAAGCAGUUCGGUAAAAAUACAUCCAGCGGCCCAAAUAUCCACCCCCAGGCCCCAGAUCCAUACUGCUUCGAGCCAAAUAAUAAUUCUGGUGCCCGGUAAGAACGUGCAAAGACCUACUUCAUCCGUCCUAUAAAUAAUUAUAUUUUUUACCUUUAUGAUUAAUAUUUGACUGUUCGUUUUAUUUCAAAAAAUUUUAAUAAAUAUUAUUUAUUUUUUCAUAACUUAUUUUAUAGUUAGAUAUAUUUUUAUAAUGAUGUAUUUAUUUUAUUAUUUGCAAAAAAACUUAAAUAAAAUGAAUGGUCAAAUAUAAAUCAUAUUAGUCAAAAAAUAUAUUUAUUUGUGGAACGGAGAGAGUACGCGUAAAAACAGUUAAAAGUCAGGUGCCUGCCAUCACCAGGGUAAAAUAAGAGGGCAUUUGGUUAAAGGUGCCGAAACUUUAACAGGUACUACAAUAUAUUUAUAACUAAAGUAUUUAGUGUUUAAUUAUAGACUAAUUAGAUUUAAAAAAGAUUGUCUUAUAAACUAUUUUCAGCUCUAUUUUUUGUUUGGCAAAUACUUCGUACAUACUCCCAGAUCCAUACUGUUUCUGGUGCCCGGUACGAAGGUGCAAAGACCUACGCGUAAAAACAGUUAAAAGUCACGUGCCUGCCACCACCAGAGUAUGUCCAAACAUGGAUAGAUGUUCAAAAAAAAAAAAACAGCACAAACUAACGAGGCCUAAAUCUAGUCUUCUAGUUACUAAAGGAAUGAAAUACAAGGGAAACUCUAAAUAACUGCUCAACACAGAGAAUUAGAGUUGGCCUUUGACUGCAUAGAAUGUUACUAAAUAGGAACUAUGAUGAGCAGAACUUCCAGUUCAGAUGACAAACAGCGAUGGUAAUUAUGUAAGAAAAAUGAUAUCCUUCACAAAUGAGUACUCCCAAAUAAAAUAAAUUUACUAACUGACACAGUUCCAAUUAUCACUGCUCUUGCAAGGAAGCUGCAUAGUCAACAAAUUUCGGCAUGCCAUGGUUUUUCGGGGCGCCGUCUAAGGCUUUCGGGAAAAAAAUUCAAGAUUCUCCGUCACAUCGAAUCUUGCGGCAUAUGUAUGGAGUAUUAAAUUUAGACGAAAACAAAAACUAAUUACACAGUUUACCUGUAAAUCGCGAGAUAAAUCUUUUGACCCUAAUUAGUCUAUGAUUGGACAAUAUUUACCACAAACAAACGAAAGUGCUACCGCAAAAUCUAAAAUUUUUGCCAGCUAAACAAGGCUUAAGUAGGAGUAAUCAUCCAUGCGACCAUGCCGGCACGCAGAUUUGAAAGUCCAGCAAUGCAGGAAUGCAGGGUAAGCAAAUGCAGCUUUUGGUAUUAGGAAUCAGGAUCCGGAAUUCAGCAUUGUUACACCGUGUAAAGCGAAACCAAUGAUGCAGAAUGGGAAACCACUUGAGCAGGUUAAUAUUUAUGGACAAGAAUGAAUGACAGUACUGAGACGUGUUUUAUGCCUAGCAAGCAGCGCUUGUUGCUCAUGCCAUCUGAAAGCAGCUCCACAAGGAAACCAAUUUUUUUGUCAGAAGUUAAACAGUACUACAAGAUAACUGGGGCACAAGUAGAGCAUUACGUGUGAUCUACUGAUGACAGAAUUAAGCCUAGAAAAAGCUUUCCCAAACAACAUGACCAUCAGGUUCCCGCCUCUUUAUCAGCUCCCACUGAAGGUAAGUUGGUGCCAACUGGGGCACAAGUAGAGCAUUACGUGUGAUCUACUGAUGACAGAAUUAAGCCUAGAAAAAGCUUUCCCAAACAACAUGACCAUCAGCUUCCCGCCUCUUUAUCAGCUCCCACUGAAGGUAAGUUGGUGCCAUUGGAAACCUCACAUAGUUGACGAGUUCAGAGCCCUCCGCCUUGUAAGGCGCAUUGCGUGGUGCAUCCUCGCCCUCCUCGGUGCUCUCCUUGGUAUAAGACCUGUACGGCUCCAUUCUGUGUACAGUUCGAUUUCUCCAAUAAUCGAUCAGCCUCAGUUGUUUGAUCAUCUCUUCCUGCUCAUUACUCAACACACUUUGGUUCCUAGGUGGAUUGAUCCCCAAAUCAUUUAAGCAACCUUUCUGGUAUUUAUUCAGGUUCCGCUGAUCUGGUUUGUUUUGUGGUACCUCAUAACUCUCAGGUCUUCUAUUGAUAGGGUAACUGAGCAAGGCAUUGUUCAUAACUUUUUUCUUCCAGCCAUCCACAUAUGGUAAUUUAUCCAGAAUUGCUCUGAACUCCUCAAAUGAUAACACAGAUCUGAUGGUCUCAUACAUCUUUUGGAAGAAAAAUGAGCACUGCGUCAAAGGAACCAACGAGGCAUGAACUGGAAACAUUGACCUGGACUCGAAUUCCCUCUCAAUUACAUUGAGCAGGUGCAAGAUAUCUUCAGGAAUGUUGUACUGUAUACCAGUUGGAGUAAUAAGCUUGAAGAGAUCUCGAAUAAUGUUAGCAGCACACUUGAAGUUUCUAUGGAGACGCCUCUUGAAUUCUGGACCUCUGCGAAGACAACUGAUAAUGGUGACAUUCUUGAAUUUCACUUUUCCUGUUUCAGUAAGUACAAUAUUAUCUUCAGUGAAAUCCUCAAAACAGAUUUGCAACGCUUCAUUGAUAACAAGGCCCUUGAGCAUAGUCCUGAUACAUUUCUUGCAGCGUUCGCUGGCAAUGGUAAAGCUUUUAGGGUCUUCAGUUUCCCCGGGCAAUGGAUUACAUCCAUCUUCAUCCAGCCCUACGAGAACAACUUUUGGAACGAGCAUGUGGUACUUCAGCUUGUACACCUUCAAGUCAAUGUAAUGUUCACAGUGUACUUGUCCAGACAUGACACACAGGUCAUAGGCUACAUACGGUAGGGUUCCUGCAGAAAAAAAACUACGUGAUUGACAGGAAUAGAAAUCAUCUAAAAAUAAGAUAGAAGUAUGGAAGUUAAUUUAAGAAGCCAGCGAACAGUAAAAACAUAUUUGCAAGCUAAAAGGUUAGUAGGUAGUGGUGUAAAGUGGCAUCAUUCAGAUUAUAAUGUUCCUAUAGACAGUUUAUAUCCAGCUAAGAAUAUAUCCCAAACACUAUGCAAUCUCAGAAUUUCAUGUAAAGCUGCUCACUUGAGAAACUUCCGGAUGGCACCCCCAGCAAGACGAACAAAUGAUGUUCAGCAUAUUUUACCAGCCUAGCAUGCUUCUGUAGUGUAGCCCUCAACACAGAUGUCUCCUACAGAUACAGAAUAAAGUGCAAGUUAAAUAAGGUAUGUGUGCUUCCAUCAAUUUUUUUUUGCAACUAGACUGUUACUUGUAACAACACUAGCAUUCAAAAUGGGAACCAGCACUUUCAGGAGAAUGAGUCAGUGAAGCAUUGGGGAGGGGGAACUUACAGGCAACACGUUGAGCACAAAAAGAGCGUGUCCCAAAACCAGAGCAUCUACAUCUUUAGGACUACAUAGAUACAAAAGGAUAUAUUAGUGAUCCAUUAGGCCUAUCAUAAAUAAAUAAAUAAAUAAAAACUAAUACAAACAACACAGGUAUAUGCAGGACGAUUGUAAGUGUACCUGUUCCCAAAGAGGUACACUUCAUCCUUAGUUAAUGUUUCAGACAACAUAUCAUAAACAGCCUCUGCCCUCCAAUAAAUCUGUUUAAAUAGAAACCUGCAUUAGGUUAGGUUGGCAGUAGCACCUAAAAAGAAAAAAGAAUAAUAAUAAGCAAACCACCUCUUGUCCCAAAUCAGCAGUUGACCUAUUCAACCUCGAACAUAGAUCACGUUUUUCAUCUCUUAGCCCCUUCCAGUGAAGAAUCUUCCGAAUUGGCCAAGCGAUAUCAGAGAAGUAGAUAUCAUUUGCAAUGCUUCCAUCACUAACUACCCACAGUUCAUACUGCAGGGCAUCAGCAAGCCAGGUCGAAACCAUGACCUUUGUGCGCUCAACAGAGGCUGAUUGUGUAAUCAGUUGGCUGCAUGGAGUUUAAGUCAAGAAUGCUGGUAUCCCUAAGAUAUUGAAUCACCCCUCCGCCCUCAUUGUUCAAAGCCACACAAUCUCCAAAUUCAACAUACGGUAUUUGCUCUGCGCAAAAAACAAAACGCAGUGAACUUAUCAGCAGGGGGCGAAAAAAUCCCAACCAGAACAGUGACCUAGCACACAAAUGCAGAUCCAGCAGCGACAAGUGAUUCUGGCAACAACUAUCUAGCAACAAGGGUAGACAGAUGCAACUAUGGAAGAGCACCAAGCAAUUCUGGCAACGACCACCUAGCAACAAGGGUAGACAGAUGUAACUAUCCAGCAGCAACUAGUGUCGAUCCAGUAGAGCAUCAAAUGAUCUACCUAGCAACAAGGGUAGCAACAAGAUGCAAAUAUCCAUGUGGAUCUAGCAACGUCAUGAUAUAACAUUAAGGCACAGUAAACAGUGGAUGAGAGGAGGUGGGGACUGGGGAGAUCACCUGCGUUUGGGUUGCAGGUGUCCACUUCGAGGUCGAAGGGAACAUCAGCCAUUCUGAGGUAGAGAAGUACGGUUAGGCACAUCGGGCAAGCGGUGGGGAGUCGGAAGCCUGGCUUCCGCACAACCAAAGUCUUCCGCGGCGCCGCCUCCCACUCGCGCGCCACAGGACCAGCACCCGCGGCCCUGGCCGCCACGGCCAACUUCGCGGCCAUGGGCCCGGCAGCAUUAGACGUCCCCCACUCCUUGACCGUGGCAGCGACCAUGGACGCGGCCCCAGCCGCCAGUACUUUGAGCCCCAAAUCCGCGGCCGCGGACCAGGUGACCGCCUCCACGACCGCGGACCCGGUCACCGCCUCCAGGGCCACGGACCCGGUCACCGCCUCCCACUCCGCGGCCGUGAACCCAGCCGCCGCGGCCGCCACGGCCAUGGCACCCGCCGCCGCCACCGAUGGCAUUGGCUGGCUUCUGAGUAGGGUUUAGGUUCGGGACUUCGUCUCGGUUUGCCCUGAAUCCGAUUUCAAGAUGGAGGGUUAAAAAAUCAGGGCCCAGAUAACCACAAAGCCCAGUGUGUGUGUGGUGAUAAUCCAUCACUAGCGCGAUAGGACGCUUCGCAAUUCUCACGGUGCUUUCAUCCGUACAACCAGCUAAUCAUCUGUUAAAGACGAGCCCAAAGCUGAUAGGCUGAUUUGUUUUAGGCCCUGUUCGUUUUGCCUCCAAAACGAAGGUUAUUGGGAAGCAUUGAGGCCCUGUUAGUUUGAUCCAGGGCCAAGGGGAUUGAGAGAAAUCGAGGGGAAAUUUACGAGUCAAAAUCUUCGUCAACACUCUCCAAUCCCUUUGAUUUUGAUUUUAAAAGGGAGAUCCAAAACCAAAUGAGUUGGAGGGGAUUGAAAGGGCCUAUAUUGUAAGUCAAAAUCCUCGUCUAACCCAUUCAAUCCCUCCAAUCUCAAGAUCAAGCGAAGUCCCCUCCAAUCCUCAUGAUUUAAGGAUGGAAAUAAACAAACAAAUAAAGAAACUAAAAAAACAUUGUUGUUCAAAAAAAAAAGUAAGCACAAGUAGGCAGAUGGAUAUUAUCAUACCAACGAUAAAUCUCCCUGAGGCCUUCUUGUUGGGUUUUGAUCCACCAUAGAGGACCCUGAUGGAUGGAUCGGAAGCCGGAAGGCCGCCCUGCUGCUGGCUGUACAGCCCGACCGACGGGCCGUGCAACCCAUCUUCCUGGCAAAGGUCAACCGGAGAGGCCAGACAACCGGCCGGGCCGAUCCCCGAUGAUGACCAUGGCACUUGAGAAGACUCGGCAAGAGCCUCUUCUUCCUCCUCAUCGUCUUCUUGUUUUGAUGGGUAUAUGGAUGCAAAGAAGAGGACGACUGCUGGAGAUGAAAGAGGUGGGGGGGGGGGGGGGGGGGUGGGGAGGGGAUUGUUUGGGGGCAAGGGUGGAACAGCUUAGGGAGGGGAUAUAAGUAGAGGAUGAGGAGCGUCCGGGACCGGCCUUUCCCAUAAAACCAGGGCCGUCGGUAGAGUAUAAUUAAUAAUAACAACAACUGAUAGAUCACGCGACACGACACGCGUGCAUAUCGAUUCGUUUCCGCCAGCGCGGCGCACGGUCCACAUCAAGGCCCCCCACCUUUGAAAAAGAGGGCCCGAUGGAGACGGCGACGGCUGCGGUAACCCAAGCGGCCACGUCUCGUCUGGUCUCCUCUCCUCUCCUCUCCUCUCGUCCGGCCCGUCCCACUCCGACGCGGACCCAUCCAAAUUUAAAGAUGGUCCAGGCCUGCUCGGCUAGCGUUCAGCCCAUCCAAAUCCAAAUUAAAGAUGGUCCACGCAGGCACGCACGCACCCCACCACGGACGGAUCCGACGAGUUGCAUUUUAUGGCGUUUUCCCUUUGGAUUUGGACGCACCACCGCACCAAUGCACGGCUUUCCUUCCCUCCACAGUCCACACCAACAACGACCACCGCAUUUUCCCGCCCCAGGACCCGUAGUCGUCGCACGUGUCAAAAGGUAUGGCCGGGCGCCGGCCAUUCCCUCGGUUCCUCCGCCCCUGCUCCCGCUACGCCAACGACUUCGGCCUUGUUUAGAUAAAAAAUUUUACAAGAGCACGAAUAUUAAAUAUAGAUAAAAAAACUAACUAUAUAGUUUAUCUGUAAAUCAUGAGACAAAUUUUUUAAGCCUAGUUACUCUAUGAUUGGACAAUGUUCUAAAAAGUUUUUAAAUCUAAACAAGGCCUUAGUUUACCAAGAAAAUCAAAAAAGUUUUCAACACAUUGAAUCUUGUGAUACAUAUAUGAAGCAUUAAAUAUAGACAAAAAUAAAAAACUAAUUAUACAGUUUAACUGUAAAUCGCGAGACAAAUCUUUUAACUCUAAUUAGUCUAUAAUUGAACAAUAUUUAUCACAAACAAGCAAAAGUGCUACAAUAACAUCCAAAAAAUUUUCACAUUUACAAAACACGGACAUGUGCUGGUCAACAGGAGUUUACUGUUCAGUUUACAAAACAAUUGAAUUUUAAAAAUAGUGUAGAAGAGUUUUAUUUCUAUAAAACUAUCUCUAUUUUUAUAAAACCAUCAUCUCUACUUCUUCAUCAAUAUAAUGUCAUAUUAACAUAUUUAAUGUGCAUAAAAUUUUCAUGAAACCUCCAUCUUAUUUACCAAAUUUAUUAGUCAUUAAAUAAUAUUUUCUCUCAACUGAAAUUGUUAAGUCAGACAUUAGACCAAUCUUAGUGGCCCGUUUAAUGCACUGUUUCCAAAAUAAAUCCGCUGACAGGGCAACAAUGAAACGAAUAAUAAAACAACCUCCACAAAGCAUGAGUUUCACCUUGACAUUUCCUAGGCUGGGCAAAGCAUUUAAUUACUGCAAAAUGAUUGGAUCACAUGUAAGAUGGUGAAACGAUUUAGCCCUCAAUGGGGACUUCAUCCCGUUUCACCGCGUGGGAAACAACGUCCGCGGAAUUUCACUAUGAUAAAACUACUUCCUUCUCUCUCCUUUUCGUUUCAUGCAAAAAGUGUAAUUUUACUUACAUGACGCUCUAAUAAAUGUGCAUGACAUACUAGUGAAACCCCCCGCUCAGACUGACUUUAUUAUCACAUAAACAUGAAAAGUAGCGAUCUUCAUCAGUUCUAUAAAUGCUAAUCAGAUGAGUACCUGGUGACAACACGACCGCCGUAGCCUCUUCGGUAGCUGAGUAUUUGCUAUAGGACAUGUUUAGAUCUAUUUUUUUUAGAUUUUGAACAUUGUAAUAUUUUUGUUUGUAUUUAUAAUUAUUGUCUAAAUAUAUAAUAAUUAGGUUUAAAAUAUUCGUCUCGUAAAUUACAGACAAAUUGUAUAAUUAACUAUUUUUUAUCUAUAUUUAAUAUUUUAUACACGGGUCUAAAGAUUCGAUGUAAUAAAAAAUCUUAUAAACUUUUAGAAUUUUAAAGAUAUCUAAAUAGGUCCAUAGUCUGCAAAAAAUGAUUCAUCUGAAAACCCUGUAAGGCUGCAAGAAUUUAUAUCCUUCACUGUUAGAUAGGAUACAGAAAAAUCCUGAAAAUAUUAAUAGCAAGUCAACAACAUACAGUACCAUCAAAAAAUAAUGGCACACAGCAUUUCUCAGUACGUAAAGAUAGAUCAAUAAUAGUUUGUUGGUUUGAGAUUAUCUACCAAAUCUGUCAGUCAUUCAGAAGUGUUCAGCAAAUAAUAUUUUUAGUCAUAACUAUUCAAGAGUGUAACAAAUAAUAUUUGCAAGCGACCAAGCUGAAAAAACUAGUAAGACCCAUGCGGCAAAUGCCGCGGGCGCUAGGCAGCUACUAUUCUAGCCAAUUAAACAAUAUUGAGAUAUGUGCAGCAGAAAAGAGAGUACAAAAUACUAGGAAAGAAAGUGCUAGUGCUGAACACGUAAGAGAGAGUGUGUAUUGCAACACGAAUCUUAAAACACUUUUGAAUGGUGGAAGAUAAGCACCACUAAACAGCCACAUGCUACGAUACAUUAUCGCAAAUAACUAGUGAUCUUGGAAGAAUGGUCAUAUUUAUUCUUUAUUAUUGUAUAAAAGGAGCAUCAGAAUAACAAACGUAGUCGAAAUAAUAAUUAAUGUUCAAAGUAUUACAAAAUAGAAAUCAUGAAAAGAUCAAAAUCGCCUAUGAACAGGUAAUCUAUAGUAGGUACAACCUAAGCCCUAUUCUUUCUAUUUGAAGUAGGCGAAGCAUCAGAAUUUACAGGACACUGUGAUAAUAUGGUCUUGUUUAUGCUUUGUUUACUUCCACCUAAAAAUUCAAAAUUUUUCAAUAUUCUCCGUCACAUCGAAUCUUUAGACGCAUGUAUGGAGUAUUAAAUGUAAAUAAAAAUAAAAACUAAUUGCACAGUUUGGUCGAAAUUGACGAGACAAAUCUUUUAAGCCUAGUUAGUCUAUCGUUAGACAAUAAUUACCACAAACAAACAAAAAUGCUACAGUGUCGCAAAAAUUUUUCCUUCACGAACUAAACAAGGCCUUAAUUCAUCCAAAAAACCAAAAAAUUUUAAGAUUUCCUGUCACAUCGAAUCUUACGGCACAUGCAUGGACCAUUAAAUAUAAUCAAAAACAAAAAACUAACUAUACAGUUUGCCUGUAAAUCGCGUAUAACACUCCAAAUUUUUGAAUUUCAAAUUCAGUUCAAAUUUGAUUUAAUUUUGGCUUAGUUUGAAUUUUUAGAGAAUUAUUAAAUAAUUUACAAAAUUAAUUAAAAUAAAAUAUAAGGUAGAAACGUGUUUGAUUUUUGCAUUCAUGCUGCUGCAUAAUUUUGAUUGAUUUGAUUUAUUUAUUUUGCUGAUGCUUGUUUUGUUUUGUUUUGGAGCAAGAAAAUUUAAAAAAAAAAGAGAAAGGGGAGAGCCCCCGCCUGGGCCGACUUCCGGCCCAGCACCCCGCGCCCCUCCCCUCUCCCCUCAUGCCCAAGUGGGCCGCGGCCCAAGCCGCACGGCAGCGGCCGGCCCCGCACUCACCCCCCGCUGCUCCCGCCCGCAGUCGCUGACGCGUGGGCCCCGCGAGUGGGACCCACCGCCUUCUUCCACCUCCGGCCGGGACGGACUCGGGGCGCAACCGACGCCCCGGUUUCCGCGCGCGGCGCCCCCAAUCCGAGCCGCACGCGCCCCAAGGAUCGUCGUGCCUUUAAAUAGCCCCCAGCCGCCGCUCGCGAACCCCCCCUAGAACCCUAGCUUCGAAAUCCGCGCCGCCGCCGUUCUCGCCAAGCUCGCGCCGCCGCCGUUGAAACCGCCGCCGUCGAGCUUCUCUUUGACUUCGUCGUUUCGCGGAGGUGAGCUCGUCAUCGCGCUCGUCGUGACGCGCCGACCCCGCCCGUGCCCUCGGCACGCUCCCCCGUGCCCUGCAGCACCGCCGCCGAAGCUCCGGGCGGCGCCAAUGGCGCCACCGCCGCCGCCGGCCGCCCCUGCGCUCCGCACCGGCGCGCGGUCCACCGUGGACCGCGGCCCUGCGCCCCCGUGCGGCCGGUCCACUGGACCGGGUCCAGGAGGCCGCCCCCCGCCGCUCCGCAGGCGCGGUCCACCAUGGACCGCGGCCUUUCCCCCCCCCCCCCGCGCCCCGGUCCACAGCACAGUGCCGUGGACCGGCCACUCCCGAGCCGCCACGUGGCCGAGCCGGCCAGCACCCACGCGCGCCCCUGCACGUUUUGCAAAAAGGCCCCUGUUUUUAUUUAAAAUUAACCCGCUAUCCUAUGCAGUUUAAAAUAAUUAUGUUUAUGCCCUUAGUUUUCGCAGUUUAACCCCUGGCUCGGUUAGAAUUUAUUUAUUUAGUCCAAAAUGAGUUUUAAUUCAGUUUUUAAUUAGUUUUAAUUACGAAAAAUAGUUCAGUUUAUCUACAGAAAUGCCAUUCAACUUGUUUUAGCCAUAACUUUUGCAUCGUGACUCCGAUUUAGGUGAUUCUGGUCGCUAUGGUUUCGUUUCGUCGAGUAGAAUACAGUAAUGCAGUUGCUUUUUGUUUCCGCAUGCUUUGGUGUACUGUUUCUGAUUAAGUUUGUUUGCUUGCAUGUAUUGUUCCUAUGAUUGAUGAUUGUCGCGUAUAGCCAACGAGACGUUCGUGAAGGAAGAGGUUCAGGAUCCCGCUGAGUUCGAGCAACCCGACUUCGAUCAAGGCAAGUGCAGACACCGUUUGAUCAUUUUGAACCUACUCAUUAAUGCCAUUUACUUUAUAUGCAUGUGUCCAAUGAAUGCAAACCCUAAGGACAUGACUAGCUUUGCUUAUUAUUCCUUGCUCACCUGGGGUUAUGUAUUUGGGUAGACUAGGCUAUACUAGGUCUGCUUAGCUGCUCUACUCAUCUUAUACACAUGUCUAAACAAGAAUUACUCUCUCUCUACUUAACUUGAUGCUUAAACUGUGCUGAAUCUUUGGUCACUGCGGUGAUGGCGAUGUUGGAUGCUUGCGAGCAUCGUGAUGAUGGUGGUGACAGGGGGAGCGGGUACCGUUGGUGGUCCGGUUUGCCGGGCGUACCCGUCUCUGCUCUCCGUAAGGACUUAGUCAGGGAGCGGCCCCCCUGGGACUUACAGUGCAGCUCCAAGCUAUAUGGCUCUGGCUUGACUAAUUAGCAGGACCUCCACUAGUAGGGUGUUACUUUCCGGGUAGGCGUGAGGAAGUAACUUGGGUAAUGAAUAUUAAGUUGUCGGUUGAUCGGUACGCCAUGGCUAUGGGUAUCGACUGCCGAGCGCCCCGACAAAAACUUGCGAGUGGCAUCCUAUUAGUUGGACCCUGUGAAAGGUCUCGUAGUGAGACCCUGCCUGCUCACCUUGGAAGUGUUUUGGGGAGUCGCGACCCCGGGCAAAUGGGAAUCACGACUUGGAGUGAACGUGCACACCUCUGCAGAGUGUAAAACUGAUAUAUCAGCCGUGCUCACGGUCACGAGCGGCCCAGACCCUCACUUGAUGAGCAAAUUGGAUUCACUGGUUACUUGGAGAUGGACCUUGGCGAGGUUGCUACCUCGUGUUUUGGCGGAAUGGCUAUUCCGUGAUGGCAGGAUUGCUAUCCUGUGGUAAUAAUUGGGGUUAAUCCCUGGAUUACUAUAAUAGUUAGGAUAGUCAUUUAAAAGAUGCUAAUUACUACUUACACUAAUUAAGGGUUGGGUUUAUACUACUCAUAUUUAGUAAUAGGUUGUUCUAGUAAUUGUUAUAAUUAAAAGCGAUCAACUAAAAUGCUACCGCAGUCAAACCAAGUCAACUUUACCUUGUUUUAAGCCUUGCAUGUCAUUACUUUCCGUCUGUGCUUGCUGAGUUCGACAUGAGCUCACCCUUGCUAUAAUCAUUAAAGGUUGCUCGGACGAUCAGGAGUACAAUUGCGAUUUCCCUGAGGACUACCCUGAGUCUCCUGGUUGUUAGGCUCGUGUGGUUCUGCCGUCGACCUUCCUGUGGCAAGGUGGUCCUGCUACGUCGGCGUUUAGUUUUCCCUUUAUUUAUGGAACAGUUUAGUUUAUGUUUCCCCUCCGCACUUUGAUAAACAUUUGGCUUGUAAUAAUGGUACUUUUACUCUCAUUUAUGUAAUUCGUUUGAACACUGUGUUUUGUACCAUUGAUGAUGUCGGUCCAUGUGUGUGAAUUUGAGAUCCUGGCGCACAUGUGAUUUGGCACCCGAAUGCUCUUUUACAUCCGGGUGUGACAGAAGUGGUAUCAAAGCCGUGUUGACCGUAGGAUCACGCAGCCUAGUUAGAAACAGCCGUUUAGACUGUCCCUUUUGGGUGGAAUACACAAUUGGAUCUAUUAACUACCUUACUAACCUGUCUCAUUAGACUUUAUCUAUUAGCCUUGUCUACUUACUUUUACUAACAGUUCAGUUUAUUCACUUAUUUCUUGCAUUUAUUACCUUGUUAUCAUUUAUUGCUUUCUAUUUCUCAUAUUGCAUUUAUAUUCUUGUUUCAACUUUUACUACUUGUUAUUUGAACCUUUCUUUUAUACCUUGUCAUUUAUUAUCAUUCUACUCAUAUUACCUUCUUGUUCCUUGUUUUUCAUUUAUUACUUGAGUUAUGUUUUAUUUCUGCCUUGACAAUAAAUUUCAUUACCUUGUUUUCACUUUAUACCUUCAUUACUUGCUUUUAUAUCUUACCAUAAAUACCACCAAAGUUCAUAUUGUCCAUCCAUUGUAUAAUCUGGGUUCAUCUUCAUUACACAUACACUUUUACCUUCAUUUAUGUUAUUCCUUUUACCUAUCAUUGUCAUGAUCUAUUAACCGUUUCCUGCAUGUCUAUGAUCUUAUGCAUAAGUAGAUGACUCGCCACCUGACCUGCCGCAAGAGCGUUAUCCGUUUCCGCCCCGUUCAAGCUGUGGAGUUCUCGUUGACUGGUCGCGUGGAUAACAUCGUGUUCCAGCCUAACCAGCAUCUUGAUGACGGUGCUAACCUCCAAGACGCGGAACCCUAUGAAGGACAGCAACCACCUCAAGCUCUGGUGGUGCAUGGAAGGGCGCCUUGCUGGGCACCUGGAGGAGAUGAUCCCUUCGGUGAUGAUGACAUGGAUGAUGAUGAUGAGGAUGAUGAUGAUGAUGAGGAUGCACCCGGAGGACCCGGAGGACCCGGUGGACCUGGAGGUCAAGAUGGACUUUUUGCUGCUGAUGAUGGGUGGAUUGUGACAGUCUGCACCAGGGAUGGUGGAGAGUGUUUCUUCCACAGCGAGCUGAAGCGUCUCCUUGACCAGCAGCUGGGACAUGGCAUGUUCUCAGUGGAGUACCGCAGUGAGCACUGGAGUCACCCAGACUACCCGGCGUACUGGAAGGUCUGGGCACACGUCGGCAGGCCUAACCCGACGUUGAGGGCACUGAGGAUCAUGUCCAUACAUGAGGCUGUGGCUGAGAGGUCUACCCAGAUGGCAGGCAUUAAUGAUGCUGCUCGCCAGGCUUUCUACGCAUACCGUGAUCACUUCUUCGAGGAGAUCAGCCAGGAUGAGCGUCGCUACUACCCUCGCCGUCGCCGUGGAGAGUUGGCGAUGACUAUUGCUUCCACCACUGAUGAGCAAGACCCCCGCAUGCACAGGACUGUCAAGCUGGUGGCGGUCACUAACACCGAGCUCAACAGUUCACUAGUGGAGUUGAAGCAAGUCAGGAAGGAGUUGGACGACGCCAGGAAGAGGAUAGCACAACUGGAGGCUCAGAUCACUGGAGUGCCACCGCCUUCACCUAAGUGGCCUGCUUUCUCUCCGCCUCGUGAAGAUCCAGCCUAUGGGGAUGCCAGCGCUCGUACUACUAUAGAAUAGGAGCUAUUCCCAACUUAGUAAUAAAUAGUGCCACGCUUAGAACGUUAGCACGAUCUUAGCUAUGCGAGUUUAGUGCUUAGUCGUUUGCUUAGUGUGCUUUGCUUGGUCUGUGUGAGAACUUGAUUUAUUAUUGUGUUAAUGGUGUGAUUUGGUUCUUUGUAAUGAGUGCGAUGAGUGGUGGGUUAUGUCCACAACGCAUCAAGAAUAAGAUUAAGUAUUAAGUUUAUUUGAGAUAGUUUGGGUUAUCAUCGGUCUCCUUUAUUUGUGCCUUAUCAUAUUUCAUAUCGCUUUAUCUUAUCAGUCUUACACUAUCAUGAUCAGUUCAUUAUCUAUAUAUUACAUCUGUUGUGAGUACUGUGUUUAUCAACUGAGACAGGAAAGUAACUAUCAGCUGGGUCAUACUUUGGGGAAAGAUUAUUACAUUGCAGUUUACAUUACAGCUCAGGUUUACACAUAUGAACUACAUCUGAUUUUAUUAUUUCUAUAUAUCAGAUGCCUGUCCACACCAGGAGCAACACCAAUGGAGGAAACAAUGGACAGUCCAACAACAACAACAAUGAUCAGAGCGGGACUAAUGCCAACCCUCCUCCUCCGGGGAAUCAGCCCAUGACCAUAGAACAGUUGAUGACUAUGCAGACUCAACUGAUGCAAGGGAUGGCUCAUAUUAUGAACCACAUGCAGCAGAACCAAAACCAGAAUCAGAACCAACACCAAGGAGGUAACAACGCGUUUGCCCCACCUAGGGACAAGCGUGGAGAGUUCAUGAAGGGACGUCCACCGUUCUUCUCUCACUCAGCUGAUCCUAUGCAAGCUGAGGAUUGGCUUAAAGCUGUGGAGAAGCAGCUGGUUAUUGCUCAGUGCAAUGACAGGGAGAAAGUUCUGUAUGGCUCUGGGCAGCUUCAGGGAGCCGCACAGGACUGGUGGGAUUCAUAUUGCUUUGCACAUCAGGACCCGGAUACUAUCACUUGGGAUGAGUUCAAGGUCGCCUUCAAGACUCAUCAUGUGCCUGCUGGAUUGGUGAAGUUGAAGAAGAAGGAGUUUCUGUCUCUGAAGCAGGGCUCCAUGACAGUUUGUGAGUACCGUGACAAGUUCACUCAGUUGUCGCGGUAUUGCCCCAAUGAAGUGGAGAAUGAUGAAGACAAGUAAGAUCACUUUCUGGAAGGUUUGAAUGAUGGUCUGUCCUACAUGAUGUCGAAUGUCAAGUACGCCAGUUUCCAGGAGAUGGUGGACAGGGCAUUGGUGCUUGAGAGCAAGCGCCGUAAGAUGGAGGACAAGAAGAGGAAGUAUAACUCCUCUCAGCAGCAGGCUGGUGCCAGUUGUCCCCGCUACAACAACCAGCAGGGCCCUCAGUCUCGCCCUGCAUAUCAGUCAGGCAACCAAGGACAGCAACAGAAUGUCAGGUACAGCAACCAGAGUCAGCAGACGAGCCAGCGCUACAACAACAACCAAGUGCAGCGCCCCGCUAGUCAGGCGCCUCGCCAGAAUGCCCCAGCACCAUCAGGCUCUCGCCAGAACUCCAACACUGUCCCAAUGAAGCCCAAUGUCAAUCCCGCCCCCACUGGAAAUACCUGCUUCAAGUGUGGUCAGCUUGGACACUACGCGAAUGCGUGCCCCCAGAGGCAGAGGAAUAACAACAACAAUGGAAGGGUGAAUCAUGUGAAGUUGGAAACUGCGGAGGAGGCUCCAGAUGUGGUAGUUGGUAUGUUUCUUGUCAACUCUUGCCCAGCUACUGUUUUGUUUGAUACUGGAGCAUCACAUACUUUUAUAAGUGCACAGUUUGUUGAGAAACAUAGUAUAGCCACCUGUACCAUGCAAAACACCAUGAUAGUUAAAUCACCUGGGGGAAAGAUGCAUACUAAUACUUUGUGUCCAGAAAUGAGCAUUAAAAUAAGGGGGGUAGAUUUUCCUGUCAAUCCCAUUGUGUUGGGUUCAGAAGGUUUAGAUAUGAUAUUGGGAAUGAGAUGGUUGUCCAAGUUUAAGGGUACUAUUCAGUGUGCUGAGAAGACAGUGGCUCUAACCGCACCUAGUGGGAACAGAAUUGAGGUCAGAGUUUCUAUGUCACCUAGUAGUGAAGGAACAAUUUACCAUCUGAGCAGUGGGUCAGUAGAAGAUAUUCGAGUUGUGAAAGAGUUCCCUGAUGUGUUCCCAGAAGAUUUGCCAGGUAUGCCACCUGAACGUGAGAUUGAAUUUGUUAUUGAUUUAUUACCUGGUACUGCACCCAUAUCUAAGAGACCUUAUAGAAUGGCUGUUAAUGAGUUAGAAGAACUUAAGAAACAACUAAGGGAGUUACAGUCUAAGGGGUAUAUCCGUCCUAGUUCCUCACCUUGGGGAGCUCCAGUUAUCUUUGUAGAGAAGAAGGAUGGGACACAGAGGAUGUGUGUAGACUAUAGAUCUUUGAAUGAGGUCACCAUUAAGAAUAAAUACCCUUUGCCUAGAAUAGAGGACUUGUUUGACCAGUUGAAAGGAGCUUGUGUGUUUUCCAAAAUAGAUCUGAGGUCAGGUUAUCACCAGUUGAGGAUUAAACCUAGUGAUAUUCCAAAGACUGCUUUCACCACCAGAUAUGGACUUUAUGAGUAUACAGUUAUGUCUUUUGGAUUGACGAAUGCUCCAGCUUACUUUAUGUAUCUGAUGAAUAAAGUUUUUAUGGAGUAUUUGGAUAAGUUUGUGGUAGUCUUUAUUGAUGAUAUCUUGAUCUACUCCAAGACUGAGGAAGAACAUGAGGAACACCUGAGACUUGUGUUGCAGAAAUUGAGGGAACAUCAGCUCUAUGCCAAGCUGAGUAAGUGUGACUUCUGGUUGAAGGAAGUGUCUUUUCUUGGUCAUGUCAUUUCAAAUGGUGGAGUUGCUGUUAGUCCGAAGAAUGUGGCAGAUGUUCUUAAGUGGAGUCCACCUCAGACUGUUGGGGAGAUCAGAAGUUUUCUUGGAAUGGCCGGUUACUAUCGGAGAUUCAUUGAGGGAUUUUCCAGUAUUGCCAAGCCCAUGACUGCUUUGUUAGAGAAGGGUAAGCCAUUCAAGUGGAAUGAACAGUGUCAGGCUAGUUUUGAGGAAUUGAAGAAGAGGUUGACUACUGCACCAAUUUUGACUUUGCCAGAUGUGACUAAAAGCUUUUCCAUCUAUUGUGAUGCUUCCAAGCAAGGUUUGGGAUGUGUACUGAUGCAAGAGGGAAAGGUGAUUGCCUAUGCAUCUAGACAGUUGAAGAAACACGAGGUGAAUUAUCCAACUCAUGAUCUUGAGUUAGCAGCUGUGGUCCAUUCACUGAAGAUCUGGAGACACUAUAUUCUGGGUCAUAAGUGUGAUAUCUACACGGAUCACAAGAGUCUGAAAUACAUCUUCACUCAGAAUGACUUAAACCUGAGACAGAGAAGAUGGUUAGAGUUGAUCAAGGACUAUGAACUGGAGAUUCAUUACCACCCUGGCAAAGCUAAUGUAGUUGCUGACGCUCUGAGUAGAAAGAGUCAAGUGAAUAUGAUGGAAGCCACGGAGUUACCGAUGGAACUACUGGCAGAAUUUGAGUAUCUCAAUUUGGGGUUUGUUGCUAAUACCCAAGGUACUUCCAUGGACAUAGAACCAACUCUUGAGCAAGAGAUCAGAAAAGGUCAGAAAGAGGAUGAAGAGAUCAAAAAGAUACUUAAGCUGAUAGAGGAAGGUAGAGCACCUGGAUUCAAAGUUGAUCAAGAAGGGAUUGUUUGGCACAAGGACCGAUUGUGUGUCCCUGAUAUUCAGAGAAUUAAGGAUGUGAUACUGAAGGAGUGCCAUGAAUCUGCUUACUCUAUUCAUCCAGGAGGUACUAAGAUGUAUCAGGACUUGAAGCAAAACUAUUGGUGGCCUGGUAUGAAGAAAGAUAUUGGUGAAUAUGUGGCAUUGUGUGACACCUGUCAGAGAGUGAAAGCGGAACAUCAGAGGCCAGCAGGGUUGUUGCAACCGUUGAAGAUACCUGAGUGGAAGUGGGAUGAGAUCAGCAUGGACUUCAUAGUGGGAUUGCCGAAAACUCAACGAGGUUAUGACUCAAUAUGGGUUGUAGUAGAUCGAUUGACCAAGGUAGCUCAUUUCAUACCGGUCAGAACUAACUACCGUGGGGAUCAGUUAGCAGAAAAGUAUAUGGAACGGAUUGUGUGUCUGCAUGGAGUUCCUAAGAGGAUUGUGUCUGAUAGAGGUACACAGUUUACAUCAAAGUUUUGGGAGAAGCUACAUGAUGCUUUGGGAACCGAGCUCAGAUUCAGUACUGCUUAUCACCCUCAGUCCGAUGGUCAGACAGAGAGAGUCAACCAGAUAGUAGAGGAUAUGCUCAGGUCUUGUGCUUUACAGUAUGGGGAUAGUUGGGAUGCUAGUUUGCCCUACGCUGAGUUCUCCUAUAACAACAGUUAUCAGACUAGUCUUAAGAUGACUCCUUUUGAAGCCUUGUAUGGAAGGAAGUGUAGGACUCCAUUGUUCUGGUACCAGACUGGUGAAAGGCAAGUGUUCGGCCCUGAUUCAUUGAGAAUAGCCGAAGAAAGAGUUCAAUUCAUCCGACAGACUCUGAAGGCAGCUCAGUCUAGACAGAAGAGUUAUGCUGAUGUGAGACGAAGGGAACUUGUAUUUCAGGCAGGUGAUUAUGUAUACCUGAAAGUGUCUCCGAUGAGAGGUCUAAAGAGGUUCAAUGUUAAGGGAAAGCUAGCUCCAAGAUACGUUGGUCCUUUCAAGAUCUUGGAAAGAAAAGGAGAAGUGGCUUAUGAGCUUGAAUUGCCUGCCAGCUUAUCCAAUGUGCACAAUGUCUUCCAUGUCUCCCAAUUCAAGAAAUGUUUGAGAGUGCCUGAGGAACAGUUGCCACUAGAGGAACUGGAUUUACAGGAGGAUCUAACUUAUGAAGAGAGUCCUAUCAAAGUUCUGGACACAGCGGAGAGAAUUACCAGGAGUAAAACUAUCAGGAUGUGUAAAGUACAAUGGAAACACCAUUCCGAGAAAGAAGCAACCUGGGAAAGAGAAGAUGAUCUAAUAUCCAAAUACCCUCAGUUAUUCCCUGGUUCAUCCUAAUCUCGAGGACGAGAUUCUUUUAAGGGGGGUAGGUUUAUAACACUCCAAAUUUUUGAAUUUCAAAUUCAGUUCAAAUUUGAUUUAAUUUUGGCUUAGUUUGAAUUUUUAGAGAAUUAUUAAAUAAUUUACAAAAUUAAUUAAAAUAAAAUAUAAGGUAGAAACGUGUUUGAUUUUUGCAUUCAUGCUGCUGCAUAAUUUUGAUUGAUUUGAUUUAUUUAUUUUGCUGAUGCUUGUUUUGUUUUGUUUUGGAGCAAGAAAAUUUAAAAAAAAAAAGAGAAAGGGGAGAGCCCCCGCCUGGGCCGACUUCCGGCCCAGCACCCCGCGCCCCUCCCCUCUCCCCUCAUGCCCAAGUGGGCCGCGGCCCAAGCCGCACGGCAGCGGCCGGCCCCGCACUCACCCCCCGCUGCUCCCGCCCGCAGUCGCUGACGCGUGGGCCCCGCGAGUGGGACCCACCGCCUUCUUCCACCUCCGGCCGGGACGGACUCGGGGCGCAACCGACGCCCCGGUUUCCGCGCGCGGCGCCCCCAAUCCGAGCCGCACGCGCCCCAAGGAUCGCCGUGCCUUUAAAUAGCCCCCAGCCGCCUGUGGCAGAACCACCCUAAUUAUAUGGCCCACAUGCACUUGACAUUGUCCUUAAGACCUCUGACUACUGCACAUGAGAGUCAUAUAACUUGGAUAGUCUGUCGGGUGCCCUCGGAGGACCCCGAAUCAUCCACAUUUUAACUCGUACAGGAUCAACAUGGAGUUACCACAACAUUACAACAUUUGUUACAAAAAUAACUUACAUCAGAGUGCGGAAGAUUUAUAACUUAAUUUACAACAUAUGAUGAAGUAUAAACUUAACUAAAUUUCCAAAAGGUGUAUAGAGUAGCGGAAGCAUCUUAGGUGAAGCUUCUAAGGUAGAAGAGGUGGAUAAAUCAUGUCGCGCCCACCGACACGACCACCAUUAGCAGACUAAGUCAGCACCUGCAACAGGGGUUAUAAAACCCUGAGUACAAAAGUACUCAACAAGACUUAACCGACUAGAAAAGAGGUGAAGACUCAGGUAUGCAGGCUAUAGGGAUUCAAGGUAAAGCUUUAUCAAGAUAAAGCAUUUCUUUUGCAUAAAAGCUUACUAAGAUUAAACCUACUUUCAAGUUUUAACUCAAGGUUAUCAUUUAUGACUAACCAAAACUAUUAUCAAACUUGCAUAAUCAUACCACAUCUUUCUUAUACCAAAGAUUCACUUGUUACUACGAUGAUGGUGUGAGGAUUGAGGCUCCAUAUCCGAGGAAACACGGCGAUUCGAAUCGAUUAAACCCAGCUGGGGAUUCAGUACCACACGACAUAUGUAGAACUUAAUCUUGCAUAUGUCAACCUGUUUCUAUAGAUCCUCCCAUACAAGAACGGGUCCAGCGUCACCCGAGAGUACAGUACACCACCAUCCUACAGCCAAUCUAGAUGUUUCCCGGUCAUCUCAGAUCCGUAAGGUGGGUACACGCUACUCUCGCCAUCUUUCCACUCCCAGUACGCGGUUAGCCGUUCUCAAGUAUCGGAAUAGCUAUAGGUAAGGCUUACCGCCGCAUGUGGGCUGUACUCAAAGGUCUCAAUCACAACAGGCCAAUCAACGGUACGGUCCUUAAUCGACUCAGUUGGAGACACUACUUUAAGACUCCAUUCUUAAAGCAAGUCCACCGACCGGUCUCAAGUUUAAACAUUAUUAACCAUAACAGUAUACCACAACGACCCUUCAAACUCUUUCAUUUGAAAACUUAUCUAAUAAGCAGGACUAAGCAUACUAAACAUUUUCAUAAAGCAAGUAUCAAGGUAAAUAUUGAAAUCAUCAAGGUAGAUAAUGCAGCAAAUAGGAUUCACUCAACUCCUAUUCACCUAAUGCAUCAUAUUAACUCAAGUGAUAUAGAUAACUUUAUGAAAAUACAAGGAUAGGGUUUAAUGUCCGGGGCUUGCCUUGGUCGGAGGGGACGUUCGGCAACUCAACAACACUCGAAGGAUCCACAAACUCGGAAGAAACCCACUGGGGAUCAGAUUCUUCCGGAGCGUACUCUAUACGUAAAAGUGCAUAUGCAUGAUUAUGAUAUACUCAUGGCAUGAUAAAGACAGGUUACAUGUUCUUGGAUGACAACCAUAAGCAUGACUAUCUCAAGUACAAUUUACCUUCAUGAUAGAGAAACAAACUAAUCUAGCUAUCAAAGCAUGGAUUAUUACUAAGCAAAUUUUAUCAUCUUCAUUAAGCAAUGUUGUGUAGUUAUUAAGCAACAAAGAUCAUUUACAUGAAAGAAUCCUUAACCAGGGAGAAUGUUAUGCUAAGUGACCACUGGUUGUCAAACAAUCUAAAAUAUCACCCAAAUCCUAAAGGGAUUAAUUAUUUCUAUUUCUUUUAUAAGCAUUUAAAUAGCUUUAUUAAGAAACAGAGCAUACUUAAUCAAAAAUAACUGAAAAUAUUUCUGAAGCUAGGUAAUAUUAACACAAGUUCACAUAUUAAAUUUCAUGCCAUUUGAAUAAGUAUAGCAGUUUCCAUGAAAAAGAUAAAUUUCCAUCACAAGAAAGCAUGUAACAACAAGAUAAAUAAGAAACUCGACAUUUUCUACAAACACAUAGCUAAAUUAUGUAUCUAUAUGAUAUAACAAUUUCAUAUAAAGGUAGAGGAACCAUAUUUUACAUUUAUUCCUUUUUAGUUUAAUUGUAAAUUAUUUAAUAAGCACUACACAAGAUAAAUCAAUAACUUAAUCAUAUGUCAUCUACUGAACAUGAAAUUUUUACUGCAACAUUCAAAUAACAUCAUGAGAACACCAUAAAAAUUUCAGGGCAAUAGGAUCUACACAGAAUAAGAUAUGAAUUUCUCCCUUUUAAACAUAAUUAAAAGGCAUAAAUCAUAACCAAUUAUUUUACUACAAAACAUGAUCAGUUUCAUAUUUUUAAUAAAAACUAGACAUCUCAAGGAGCACAACAAAAUUUGGUUCACCAAAAUUGGAGUUGCCAAACUCCAGAUAUGAAUUUUCAAAGAUCUAACAAAACAUCUACAAACAGGUCCUGAUGGCACUAUUCACCCGAGUCACGAACUUCGCAGUUAGACCCUUGCCUUGUGUCGAAUUCCAACGCGAAGUCCCUGGCGCGAAAUGGAAACAGAGGAGGCGCGCGGGAAAGCCGGAUUUCCGACCGGCGACCGUCUGUUGGCGACAAGGGAGAGGUACUGGAGCAUGGUUGGGCCUAUGUGCACCCUCUGGUGACCACGGCUUGCUGCGAGAAGGCCUGAGGUGGCAUGGCCACGGUGAGGUGCUCCUCGGCGGCGCUUUUGGCCGGAAUGGAGGAAGAACGGACGUAGCCGGGGCUAGAGAUGGUUAGAGCUUGCAUCAAGGGGGCGCGAAUGGUUGCUGAGACCUUGGUAAAGCUGCUGGGGUGCUCUGGUGGCUUAGAAAGGAAGUGGGAGAGGUGAAUUUUUGCGGGCGCAGGGAGCUCACCGGCGUUGAGCGAAAGGAAGAAGAGAGGGUUGCAGUGAGGUGCGAGCCAUGGGAAGAAGUGGAUGAGGACGCCAGGAGCUCGGCCACUUCACCGCGACCGUAAGCAGGCGAGCAGCUGCGUGGCUGGGUGCGUGGCGGCGUCCUGAGCAGCAGUGUCUGCCGCGGCGGCAGUGCAGCCCGUGAUCCUCAUCGGUUACUGUAGCAGGCUUUAUCCAACCAGUUUUGUGGUUUUGCAAAAUUCGUCCAAAUUUUGAACUGAAGACAAAAUUCCACCAAAACAAAAGUUAUUCAGAAUUUUACAAACUACAAAUCUUCUUUUGGUGACCAAAGCCAAUUCUGGGUGGAAAAUGACGAAUUUGACAAAACAGUUUGAAUUUCAAAUCCCAAAUUGGGGAAAUUCCAAAUUUUGAAUUGGAGCAGAUUAGAAUUUCCAAAAUUACUUUUGAUUUUCCAAAACAACUUGAAAAACUCCCAACAUGAAAGUUGUUCAACUUUUCAAGCCCUACAACUCUCAUGUUGACCAUUUUUCAAAAUUCCAAACAGAUUUUGAAUUGGAGAUUUAAGUUUGAAAAGGGGACACUUUCCGGAAAUCUGUAUUUUCAAAAUUACUUUGAAUUUUGUACUGAAACUUCAAAAACUCAAAACACCAAAGUUGUACAUCUUGACAAGAUCUACAACUUUGCUUUUGAACUCAACUUCAAAUUUUGCUUAGUUUUUAAAUUACACAAAAGGGGACAAAUCUAGGGUUUCCCCCCUAAGCCUUUCGGAAAAACUUUCACCCAAGGUUUUUAAAUUCCAAAACAAACAUCCAUACAUAAAAUAAACACACUUUACUUCCUAAACACAUUCAACCAAAAUAACCUUAUUUUAAGUUGAUGCAUAAUAAUGUGCUCAACAAUUAUGCUUUGCAAUGCUUAUGAUGACAUGAUCCAGUUUUAGUAUUCGUAACAUCAGGGAUGUUACAGCCCUUCCCCCUUAAAGAAAUCUCGUCCCGAGAUUUCCAGGGUACUAAAACCCGUGGGGUUAAGUAAUGGAAAAGGAAAUGUGUCAAGCACAUUAACUUCUGAGAAGUUCAUAAAACAAUUACAAUUGGUCCGAGAAUUACAACUAAGAUCAACAGAAUGUUGUAAUCAAUAAGGAAUGUUAGAGAAUUCAUAAGAAGAUAUGAAUCUCCAAAUGAGCUUCCAAGGAGAAUGAAAGCACACUAACUGUAGACUAUAGCGGAGCAUGACCAGAGAUCCCGAUGUUUAACGAGCACCUAGUAGUAUUUCCUUAUGGCUGCAGUCCACAGGAGACUACAAGGUUCGACGCUAUAACGUGAUCACGGAUCAUGGUACCUACUAUAGAGUACGGUUAUAAUAGCUUUCAAUGACCUAUGUUGGUUAUCUAAGUCAGGGGUUUUAGGUAAUUCCAAAGAGAUAUGGGCAUGGAUUCCCAUAAUAUUGUUCAAAGAGUGAGGUCACCUAAGUUGUGGGUCUAUAAGGGAUCAUGAUCAUAGACUUUGAUAACAGCGAGCGCCCGGCAGUAUUUCCUUAUGGUCGCGAGCCAUAGGAGACCCCAGGUUUCGGCGUUGUUACCUAAGUUAUGGGUCAUGGUACCUUAAGAGGACACAAUCAUAGUGACAUUCAAUCAACAGAAAUGUUGACAAAUGACAUCAAGGAGGUAGCAUGUGUCCGAAUUAGAUGAAAUCAAGGAAGGUCACAUGCAUAACAAAUGAAUCAAGGAUUAGGAUCUUAUGGAGUAAAAGAUUAUCAAUCAGUUAACGAAACCUGGUACAUGAUGAGAUUCAUCAAUAAAACAGCUAUACCGAAUAAUAACUGUUUUGAAGCAUAAGGAGGGGCUUUUAUGUAUCAUUAUAUUUGUCAUGUUAUGCUUGAUAUGCAAUAUGCUCGCCUAUACGUCUUUACAACGUUAGCUAGGAGAUAAUUGCUUAUAUAGGGCAUACUUUAUACACUAUCUUUAUUGCUUCAAAAGGGAGGCUGCAAGACUGUUGACAAAGCAUUGUUGGAGUAGUUUGAUUCUUCACUUGGCUUGUCGAAGACUUGAAGCCUCUUUUAAUGUCUUCUAUUUGAGUCAGCAGAAAGUCUUCGUAGAACCCGAACAGCAAGCAUAAGAAAAGUUAAGGAAUAUUUAUAAGUUGUUAUCCUCAAAAACUUUUAAUUUGUAAAUUUCUUUUGAACUUUUCACAAUUAAUGUUGUAGAAGAUCCAUGUAUGAGCUCUGAUACCAGCUGUGGCAGAACCACCCUAAUUAUAUGGCCCACAUGCACUUGACAUUGUCCUUAAGACCUCUGACUACUGCACAUGAGAGUCAUAUAACUUGGAUAGUCUGUCGGGUGCCCUCGGAGGACCCCGAAUCAUACACAUUUUAACUCGUACAGGAUCAACAUGGAGUUACCACAACAUUACAACAUUUGUUACAAAAAUAACUUACAUCAGAGUGCGGAAGAUUUAUAACUUAAUUUACAACAUAUGAUGAAGUAUAAACUUAACUAAAUUUCCAAAAGGUGUAUAGAGUAGCGGAAGCAUCUUAGGUGAAGCUUCUAAGGUAGAAGAGGUGGAUAAAUCAUGUCGCGCCCACCGACACGACCACCAUUAGCAGACUAAGUCAGCACCUGCAACAGGGGUUAUAAAACCCUGAGUACAAAAGUACUCAACAAGACUUAACCGACUAGAAAAGAGGUGAAGACUCAGGUAUGCAGGCUAUAGGGAUUCAAGGUAAAGCUUUAUCAAGAUAAAGCAUUUCUUUUGCAUAAAAGCUUACUAAGAUUAAACCUACUUUCAAGUUUUAACUCAAGGUUAUCAUUUAUGACUAACCAAAACUAUUAUCAAACUUGCAUAAUCAUACCACAUCUUUCUUAUACCAAAGAUUCACUUGUUACUACGAUGAUGGUGUGAGGAUUGAGGCUCCAUAUCCGAGGAAACACGGCGAUUCGAAUCGAUUAAACCCAGCUGGGGAUUCAGUACCACACGACAUAUGUAGAACUUAAUCUUGCAUAUGUCAACCUGUUUCUAUAGAUCCUCCCAUACAAGAACGGGUCCAGCGUCACCCGAGAGUACAGUACACCACCAUCCUACAGCCAAUCUAGAUGUUUCCCGGUCAUCUCAGAUCCGUAAGGUGGGUACACGCUACUCUCGCCAUCUUUCCACUCCCAGUACGCGGUUAGCCGUUCUCAAGUAUCGGAAUAGCUAUAGGUAAGGCUUACCGCCGCAUGUGGGCUGUACUCAAAGGUCUCAAUCACAACAGGCCAAUCAACGGUACGGUCCUUAAUCGACUCAGUUGGAGACACUACUUUAAGACUCCAUUCUUAAAGCAAGUCCACCGACCGGUCUCAAGUUUAAACAUUAUUAACCAUAACAGUAUACCACAACGACCCUUCAAACUCUUUCAUUUGAAAACUUAUCUAAUAAGCAGGACUAAGCAUACUAAACAUUUUCAUAAAGCAAGUAUCAAGGUAAAUAUUGAAAUCAUCAAGGUAGAUAAUGCAGCAAAUAGGAUUCACUCAACUCCUAUUCACCUAAUGCAUCAUAUUAACUCAAGUGAUAUAGAUAACUUUAUGAAAAUACAAGGAUAGGGUUUAAUGUCCGGGGCUUGCCUUGGUCGGAGGGGACGUUCGGCAACUCAACAACACUCGAAGGAUCCACAAACUCGGAAGAAACCCACUGGGGAUCAGAUUCUUCCGGAGCGUACUCUAUACGUAAAAGUGCAUAUGCAUGAUUAUGAUAUACUCAUGGCAUGAUAAAGACAGGUUACAUGUUCUUGGAUGACAACCAUAAGCAUGACUAUCUCAAGUACAAUUUACCUUCAUGAUAGAGAAACAAACUAAUCUAGCUAUCAAAGCAUGGAUUAUUACUAAGCAAAUUUUAUCAUCUUCAUUAAGCAAUGUUGUGUAGUUAUUAAGCAACAAAGAUCAUUUACAUGAAAGAAUCCUUAACCAGGGAGAAUGUUAUGCUAAGUGACCACUGGUUGUCAAACAAUCUAAAAUAUCACCCAAAUCCUAAAGGGAUUAAUUAUUUCUAUUUCUUUUAUAAGCAUUUAAAUAGCUUUAUUAAGAAACAGAGCAUACUUAAUCAAAAAUAACUGAAAAUAUUUCUGAAGCUAGGUAAUAUUAACACAAGUUCACAUAUUAAAUUUCAUGCCAUUUGAAUAAGUAUAGCAGUUUCCAUGAAAAAGAUAAAUUUCCAUCACAAGAAAGCAUGUAACAACAAGAUAAAUAAGAAACUCGACAUUUUCUACAAACACAUAGCUAAAUUAUGUAUCUAUAUGAUAUAACAAUUUCAUAUAAAGGUAGAGGAACCAUAUUUUACAUUUAUUCCUUUUUAGUUUAAUUGUAAAUUAUUUAAUAAGCACUACACAAGAUAAAUCAAUAACUUAAUCAUAUGUCAUCUACUGAACAUGAAAUUUUUACUGCAACAUUCAAAUAACAUCAUGAGAACACCAUAAAAAUUUCAGGGCAAUAGGAUCUACACAGAAUAAGAUAUGAAUUUCUCCCUUUUAAACAUAAUUAAAAGGCAUAAAUCAUAACCAAUUAUUUUACUACAAAACAUGAUCAGUUUCAUAUUUUUAAUAAAAACUAGACAUCUCAAGGAGCACAACAAAAUUUGGUUCACCAAAAUUGGAGUUGCCAAACUCCAGAUAUGAAUUUUCAAAGAUCUAACAAAACAUCUACAAACAGGUCCUAAUGGCACUAUUCACCCGAGUCACGAACUUCGCAGUUAGACCCUUGCCUUGUGUCGAAUUCCAACGCGAAGUCCCUGGCGCGAAAUGGAAACAGAGGAGGCGCGCGGGAAAGCCGGAUUUCCGACCGGCGACCGUCUGUUGGCGACAAGGGAGAGGUACUGGAGCAUGGUUGGGCCUAUGUGCACCCUCUGGUGACCACGGCUUGCUGCGAGAAGGCCUGAGGUGGCAUGGCCACGGUGAGGUGCUCCUCGGCGGCGCUUUUGGCCGGAAUGGAGGAAGAACGGACGUAGCCGGGGCUAGAGAUGGUUAGAGCUUGCAUCAAGGGGGCGCGAAUGGUUGCUGAGACCUUGGUAAAGCUGCUGGGGUGCUCUGGUGGCUUAGAAAGGAAGUGGGAGAGGUGAAUUUUUGCGGGCGCAGGGAGCUCACCGGCGUUGAGCGAAAGGAAGAAGAGAGGGUUGCAGUGAGGUGCGAGCCAUGGGAAGAAGUGGAUGAGGACGCCAGGAGCUCGGCCACUUCACCGCGACCGUAAGCAGGCGAGCAGCUGCGUGGCUGGGUGCGUGGCGGCGUCCUGAGCAGCAGUGUCUGCCGCGGCGGCAGUGCAGCCCGUGAUCCUCAUCGGUUACUGUAGCAGGCUUUAUCCAACCAGUUUUGUGGUUUUGCAAAAUUCGUCCAAAUUUUGAACUGAAGACAAAAUUCCACCAAAACAAAAGUUAUUCAGAAUUUUACAAACUACAAAUCUUCUUUUGGUGACCAAAGCCAAUUCUGGGUGGAAAAUGACGAAUUUGACAAAACAGUUUGAAUUUCAAAUCCCAAAUUGGGGAAAUUCCAAAUUUUGAAUUGGAGCAGAUUAGAAUUUCCAAAAUUACUUUUGAUUUUCCAAAACAACUUGAAAAACUCCCAACAUGAAAGUUGUUCAACUUUUCAAGCCCUACAACUCUCAUGUUGACCAUUUUUCAAAAUUCCAAACAGAUUUUGAAUUGGAGAUUUAAGUUUGAAAAGGGGACACUUUCCGGAAAUCUGUAUUUUCAAAAUUACUUUGAAUUUUGUACUGAAACUUCAAAAACUCAAAACACCAAAGUUGUACAUCUUGACAAGAUCUACAACUUUGCUUUUGAACUCAACUUCAAAUUUUGCUUAGUUUUUAAAUUACACAAAAGGGGACAAAUCUAGGGUUUUGAAAACUAGGGUUUCCCCCCUAAGCCUUUCGGAAAAACUUUCACCCAAGGUUUUUAAAUUCCAAAACAAACAUCCAUACAUAAAAUAAACACACUUUACUUCCUAAACACAUUCAACCAAAAUAACCUUAUUUUAAGUUGAUGCAUAAUAAUGUGCUCAACAAUUAUGCUUUGCAAUGCUUAUGAUGACAUGAUCCAGUUUUAGUAUUCGUAACAUCAGGGAUGUUACACCGCCGCUCGCGAACCCCCCCUAGAACCCUAGCUUCGAAAUCCGCGCCGCCGCCGUUCUCGCCAAGCUCGCGCCGCCGCCGUUGAUACCGCCGCCGUCGAGCUUCUCUUUGACUUCGUCGUUUCGCGGAGGUGAGCUCGUCAUCGCGCUCGUCGUGACGCGCCGACCCCGCCCGUGCCCUCGGCACGCUCCCCCGUGCCCUGCAGCACCGCCGCCGAAGCUCCGGGCGGCGCCAAUGGCGCCACCGCCGCCGCCGGCCGCCCCUGCGCUCCGCACCGGCGCGCGGUCCACCGUGGACCGCGGCCCUGCGCCCCCGUGCGGCCGGUCCACUGGACCGGGUCCAGGAGGCCGCCCCCCGCCGCUCCGCAGGCGCGGUCCACCAUGGACCGCGGCCUUUCCCCCCCCCCCGCGCCCCGGUCCACAGCACAGUGCCGUGGACCGGCCACUCCCGAGCCGCCACGUGGCCGAGCCGGCCAGCACCCACGCGCGCCCCUGCACGUUUUGCAAAAAGGCCCCUGUUUUUAUUUAAAAUUAACCCGCUAUCCUAUGCAGUUUAAAAUAAUUAUGUUUAUGCCCUUAGUUUUCGCAGUUUAACCCCUGGCUCGGUUAGAAUUUAUUUAUUUAGUCCAAAAUGAGUUUUAAUUCAGUUUUUAAUUAGUUUUAAUUACGAAAAAUAGUUCAGUUUAUCUACAGAAAUGCCAUUCAACUUGUUUUAGCCAUAACUUUUGCAUCGUGACUCCGAUUUAGGUGAUUCUGGUCGCUAUGGUUUCGUUUCGUCGAGUAGAAUACAGUAAUGCAGUUGCUUUUUGUUUCCGCAUGCUUUGGUGUACUGUUUCUGAUUAAGUUUGUUUGCUUGCAUGUAUUGUUCCUAUGAUUGAUGAUUGUCGCGUAUAGCCAACGAGACGUUCGUGAAGGAAGAGGUUCAGGAUCCCGCUGAGUUCGAGCAACCCGACUUCGAUCAAGGCAAGUGCAGACACCGUUUGAUCAUUUUGAACCUACUCAUUAAUGCCAUUUACUUUAUAUGCAUGUGUCCAAUGAAUGCAAACCCUAAGGACAUGACUAGCUUUGCUUAUUAUUCCUUGCUCACCUGGGGUUAUGUAUUUGGGUAGACUAGGCUAUACUAGGUCUGCUUAGCUGCUCUACUCAUCUUAUACACAUGUCUAAACAAGAAUUACUCUCUCUCUACUUAACUUGAUGCUUAAACUGUGCUGAAUCUUUGGUCACUGCGGUGAUGGCGAUGUUGGAUGCUUGCGAGCAUCGUGAUGAUGGUGGUGACAGGGGGAGCGGGUACCGUUGGUGGUCCGGUUUGCCGGGCGUACCCGUCUCUGCUCUCCGUAAGGACUUAGUCAGGGAGCGGCCCCCCUGGGACUUACAGUGCAGCUCCAAGCUAUAUGGCUCUGGCUUGACUAAUUAGCAGGACCUCCACUAGUAGGGUGUUACUUUCCGGGUAGGCGUGAGGAAGUAACUUGGGUAAUGAAUAUUAAGUUGUCGGUUGAUCGGUACGCCAUGGCUAUGGGUAUCGACUGCCGAGCGCCCCGACAAAAACUUGCGAGUGGCAUCCUAUUAGUUGGACCCUGUGAAAGGUCUCGUAGUGAGACCCUGCCUGCUCACCUUGGAAGUGUUUUGGGGAGUCGCGACCCCGGGCAAAUGGGAAUCACGACUUGGAGUGAACGUGCACACCUCUGCAGAGUGUAAAACUGAUAUAUCAGCCGUGCUCACGGUCACGAGCGGCCCAGACCCUCACUUGAUGAGCAAAUUGGAUUCACUGGUUACUUGGAGAUGGACCUUGGCGAGGUUGCUACCUCGUGUUUUGGCGGAAUGGCUAUUCCGUGAUGGCAGGAUUGCUAUCCUGUGGUAAUAAUUGGGGUUAAUCCCUGGAUUACUAUAAUAGUUAGGAUAGUCAUUUAAAAGAUGCUAAUUACUACUUACACUAAUUAAGGGUUGGGUUUAUACUACUCAUAUUUAGUAAUAGGUUGUUCUAGUAAUUGUUAUAAUUAAAAGCGAUCAACUAAAAUGCUACCGCAGUCAAACCAAGUCAACUUUACCUUGUUUUAAGCCUUGCAUGUCAUUACUUUCCGUCUGUGCUUGCUGAGUUCGACAUGAGCUCACCCUUGCUAUAAUCAUUAAAGGUUGCUCGGACGAUCAGGAGUACAAUUGCGAUUUCCCUGAGGACUACCCUGAGUCUCCUGGUUGUUAGGCUCGUGUGGUUCUGCCGUCGACCUUCCUGUGGCAAGGUGGUCCUGCUACGUCGGCGUUUAGUUUUCCCUUUAUUUAUGGAACAGUUUAGUUUAUGUUUCCCCUCCGCACUUUGAUAAACAUUUGGCUUGUAAUAAUGGUACUUUUACUCUCAUUUAUGUAAUUCGUUUGAACACUGUGUUUUGUACCAUUGAUGAUGUCGGUCCAUGUGUGUGAAUUUGAGAUCCUGGCGCACAUGUGAUUUGGCACCCGAAUGCUCUUUUACAUCCGGGUGUGACAUCGCGAGAUAAAUCUUUUAAGCCUAGUUAGUCCAUAAUUGAACAAUAUUUGCCAAAAAAACGAAAGUGCUACAGUAUCCGAAAACUUUUCAUUUUGCCAACUAAACAAGGCCUAUGCUACAUGGGCAUCACCACUCUUUGCUUGUACCGUCUUGUUCGUUUGAGCUUAUCAGCCGAAUCUGUCAGUCAUUCAACAAUGUUUUUCUCUCAUAAUAAGCCAACAAUACUUUUUGUCAUAUCUUAUUAGCCAAACAAACAAGGCUUGCAAAAUUUCUCUGUUACAGACAAAAGGUUCUGUGAACUAUAAAUCAACAAUGUAGCAUUUAUAUACCUUAUUAGAUGGCCCCUUUCAAUGAGAACACAAGUUUUAUAGACUUAGAGCAACUCCAACGGCUUGGCAAAAUUUAGUAGUCAGAUUCUAUUUGUUUAGCAACUUUGUCAAAUAGAAAACUUUUGAAAAAGAAGAGGUCUAUAACAGCUUUGCUAUUUUACAAAAUUAGAUAGCUAAUGUCACUGGUUGGCUAUAUAUAGCCACCGAAAAUCAAGAGAUAGCCAAGUUUGUAUUUUACAAAACCAGAUAGCACAUCUGUUCGAACCACCUACAUUUUAGGAGCGGAUCUGCAGCCCAGGCCUAGUCGUUGGCCCAAUAACAUCAUAUAUCCUAUGUAAACUUUUAGCCCAACAAGGCAACAACCAAGGCCCAACACAUAACUGGCCUUAGCUCCAAGGCCUUGUUUACUUCCAGCCCAAAAUCUAAAAAAAAAUUCAAAAUUCUUCAUCAAAUUGAAUUUUUAGACAAAUUCUUCAACAACCAAGGCCCAACGCAUGGAGUAUUAAAUAUAGACAAAAAUAAAAACUAAUUACACAGUUUGGUCAAAAUUUAUAAGACAAAUCUUUUAUGCAUAGUUAGUCCAUAAUUAGACAAUAAUUAUCACAAACAAACGCAAAAUCAUGAACUAAAGACGGCCUAAAACUCUCACCUGUCUGUCUGUCUCCCAGUCCCUACUACGCCACACCAGCGUAUGCCCCACGACCCGCCAUAGUCACGCACGAGGGGAGGGCAGAAGGUGAGGAAUUGGCCGCCACUGACCGCUACGUCGCACGCAGCUGGAUCCCAGAGCCGCCCAUCCCGCCGGCAUCCCCAACUUCUUUCGCCAUUCCGCGUCCACGGCUUCCGCUUCCGUCUUGCUGAUGGUCGCCAGCCCCUAGACACUAGGUAUUUAUUUUCAUCUCAACAUAUGUGUCUGCAACAUUCUUACCAUCCUAGAGGCCUAGUCUUGAGUAAAACCGGGCUCUGCCACCGCUACUUUUUGCUAUGCAAAUUCUAAAACAACCUCCACAACAAGAAUAACCAAGCUGUUGGAGUUACUCUUAAAUGCCAGCAAUUGUAAAAGCUUGUUGUGACACUACUCUGGUAGACAAAGGUAACUUGUGUUUCUUUGCUUCAAUUAGCAGAACCAUUUAAGUACGAUAUGUAGACAGCAGGUGGUGCAUAUCAGUGUUCAUUGUCAGGUGGUUUAGUACAAAGCAUUAUCGAAACUUCACGCACUCCGCAUAACACUGAAGGCAGCAUUGCAGAUGCAAAGUAUUCAUAGCUUGAAGAAUAAAUAUAACCAAGUAAUCAUGAUGCAUAAAUAAUAAUUAGCUAAUUUGGACGCCACCAUCUCAUCAGCUAGAAUGGUUGUAUUAGGGAAAAAAAUUAUACAGUUUGUACCGAGGCUACGAGAUCAAGAGCUUUUUCUGUGCUGAAGCAUAAUGAACCUGGAUGAUGAUAUAGAUCCUUUCAAUCGAGAUGGCAAUGGUUGUCAUACUUGAGUACUCAACUACUCCAGUGGCAAUAGCCAUCUAGAGAAUUGCUAGCAGGUUCACAUGUUCAGUGUCAAGAGAAAUUGCAUGCAAAAAAACCAAAAUAACUCAACUCACCAUGAUGGCAUGAUGCAUAAAUAAUUAGGUACUUUGGAUGCCACAAUCUCAUCAGUUAGAACGGUUGCAUUAGGAAAUUAUAAAAAAUGAAUACAUAUGCAGGUAAUUAGGGAGUUGAGUAUGCCACUGCAAGAGGUACAAUGUUCCAAUAGAAACAGCCUACAGAACCGUACAGAAAUCAAAGAGGUCAUUGUAGUUUGUUAAGGCAACAGAAAGUUCUAGUUUUCUAUACCAUAAAAAAGAAAUCCUGAUUAGCAAACCAUCCAACCAUCAAAUUAACAUGCUGAGAUUAUUAGUACCUUGUUGCAGCCGACCUUGAAACUGAACAGGGUUGAUCUGUUUUUUCAGCAAGCAUGCUCUGACCAUGCACCCGAUAAAAUACUGCGUUUCUGAACAUUAUCUAUUUGAAGAAUUAAUAAUCUGUAGUGCGUCAUCCUCAUGUCGAUAAGAUUAGUUACACAGUAAACCGACUGAUAUUUGGUUGGAUGUACACUGAUCAUGUGUUUGAGCACAGAAGCUGAGAAGCAGAAACAUCGAUGGAUCGAUAAGAUUCUUUGUUGCAGUUGAAAAACCUUCAAAAAUAUUUAAGUCGGUUCCAAACUUAUGAACUGAAUAUAUAUCAUCAACGGGGGAUGAUGUAUAUGCAGAACCAAGCCGUCGUAAGGUACAACUGGUGGUACGUGGCCAACAAAUCUAUGAUCUUGUCAGCCUGUACCAUGUAACAAAAGCAUACGGUGAGCCUCAUAGCAGAGGUUAAAAAAAGACUUGCCAACAAAGUAACAUUCAUGACAGAGCACAGCGGAAAAAGUAGUGUGUAAAUGCCAUGUAUAAGUGGCUUCGUAUUCUUUCCAUUUUUCAUGACUGCUAGCAAAGAAUGGGUUGUAGACUUGGACAACAUUUGUAUUGCGAUAUGGCAGAACAUGCAUGAAGCGGAGGCUCUACACUAAUCUGUAAGUCAGCAAGAAUUGCAUAAACAGAAUCAACAUUUAGGUUAACUGGAAACCGAAGAAUGACAAUUUGUAAGAAGUAUCGUAGCACACCAUGAUCACCGGAUUCAUUGUUUUUUGUGAAAAUUGCCAGGAAAAACAAGGUAUGACCUGUUAUGUCAACAUGGUAUGAAUGGUAACUGUACAAAUGAUGAUUAUGGGAGCAGUUAUUAAGAAAUCAUAAAAACUAAAACAAUAUUAGCGAAAAAAAUACCUGUUUAGGUUCAGCUCGUUGAUCAAACAUACCCGUGCACGUCUCCAUCACAUUCUCGUUGUCGGCAUGCGCUAUCUGGUAAAUUAAGGAUGAGCUAUAAAUGGGUAUCCACAGUUCUUCUCUAGUCUAACCUAUUUAAGUAAAUGAACGAGACAGACACGGUGGUUGGAACCUUGGAGGAAAAUGCAAGAUCGUGUGGCCUAUGGUUUGCGCUUCAAAAUACUACGGCGGCUUGGGUCUGCCAAACAUGAGUCCUCGGGUUCACCCUUCGCCUCCAUUCGGACUGGCAGAAGAGGGUUGCAGAUGCGCCACCAUGGACCAAGCUGCCGUCCAAACUAGAGAAGCUUCUGAGCAUGUUCAGCUGCUCCGUCGUGGUCGAGCUUGGCCAUGGUGCUUCGGCUCGCAUCUGGACUGAUUCUUGGCUGCCAGUCAGGUCAAUUGCGACCUUUGCCCCGCACUUGUUUCGCACCAUUGGUCGUUGCUUUCUAUUGGUAUCCAUCAAGGAGGUGCUCUCCGGUCACCAUUACUGCGUCACAUCUCCGGGGCACACACCACGCCAGUGUUGUAUGAGUUUGUUGAUCUCUGGCAAAAGCUGGAGGACGUCCAGUUGCAACCGCUUGUGAGUGACCGCUUUAAUUGGCGAUGGACGCCACAUAGCACGUACUCAGCGUCCUCAGCAUAACGCUCAUUCUGGGCAUGUCCUCCCUGUUGGGAGCCAAGGAACUUUGGGAAGCUUCCGCGCCGCCAAAGGUGAAACUCUUCUGCUGGUUAGCCCUGCAUGGUUGCAUCUGGACGGUGUUAGGUUGAUCUCUGCCAACCCAAGUCCAAAGAAUGCCCCGGACCCUUGACCUCGUCCUGAUCGGGGGCGUCCAGCCCAAUGACUUGGCUGGUGGGCACCCGUUGCAGUGUAUAAAGAGAGGGUGGGGGCUAGGGCACAAGGUACGACGUUCAUCGCUACAGUGCCGUGAGUCCCCACCCUAACCCUAUACCGAUCCAAAGGGAAGCACUGCCAGCGACGGGAAGUCCGCUGCCGCGACUGCCUUGGACAACGUGCUUCUCUGCGAAGGUAAGGUUAGGUAUCUCUCUCAUCCUCUCGUCCUCACUUCCUCUCUGGAUCCAAGAUGUUCUAUGUUAUUUAUCCCAAAUGGAAAAGCGGAUUCCCCACUGAUCUACACUCUAGACGAUCUAAGAAUAUAACAAAUGGUAUCGGAGCCAAGGUUACCGUCGCGCGAGGCACCGCCCUCGCGCGGGCAAUGUGAGAAGAGAAAGAAAUCGGAUGAAUCCCAAACAUAAUGAAAGAAUCUUAACCUAAAUCCUAACGCUCGAUUAGGGUUUCGGUAAGAACUAACAGAGUAGGGAGGGAUCCGAUACGGUCGGAUCCUACCCCUAACCUUAGAAGGGAAAGAAGACGACGGAGAGGAUGGAUCCUACCUAGGGCCCACCUUGCUGCCGGCCGUCAAUCGACGCCGCGUAGAAGAACCGCGCCGCCUCUUCAUCGGCGUGCGCGUAGCUAAGCUGCACCGUCGUGGAAUUAUUCGACGGACGCGUGCUCGUCCUCGUGGGGAACGCGCUCGCCGACGAAUGACUCCAUGGCGGCGCCGCCGUUUCUCCUCUCCGGUCAUCACCGGCGGCCGGCUCCUGCUGCUGUUUUUUGCGGCGUGGGAGAGAGGAGAGGAACCAGAAAAGAAAAGAAAGGAAGGAAAGAAGGGGAGGGCCAGGGGCGCUCUCCCUCGGCGCUCUCUCCCCACCGGCGCUGAUCGCGGCCGGGAUCCAUGUCUGCCGCCGCGAAAGAAACAGAGGGAAAAAGAAUGGACUAGGGUUUAGGGAAGUCACCGGCUCAGGGUUUUUGUUUGCCGAGAUUGAAGAACGACCGUCGAUCUCGAUCGGACGGUGCAUAACAGCUGGACUGGGGCCCAAGAGGGUAACCGAAUUCCCGGCCCAGGCCCAGGUUGCGGCCUCGGCACGGGGAGAGCCGCUCGCCAUCUCCGCCGAUGGGUCGGCCUGCUUCGCCGACGCACGGGUCCCGGGCUGGGGUGGAAGGUGGCCGCGGGCCACUGCUGUGCCGCAGCAACAAUCGUGCGCAGGGGGAAAGAGAGAAGACCAUGGACUUUUCUCAAAAAAAAAAGAGAGAAGACCAUGGACCGGCCAGCCUGGGCCACGAGCUCUAACUAGGCCAUGGGGAGAGGAAAGGGGAGCGCGAGCUGCUAGAGAUUUUCGUUUUUCUAUUUUCCAGAAGCAAAUUUUGAAUGCAGUUUUGAAUAAAAUUGUAUAGUUUUGAUGCUAUUUUCUGUACAAAUAUUGUCCAAAGAUAAUUUUUCACAGAAAAUAGUAAAGUAUCUUAAAGAGUUUCUAGAAAAUAAAAUUAAGAGUAUACUAAAGUUUUCGCUGCGUACUUAUAAUUAUUUAUUUAUUUUUUCAUUGUUAAAGUCGAAGUAAAGGGAGAGUUUAAUUUUGAAAAAUAAAACAAAUACAGAUUAUUAUAAUAUUGUAAUUGUUCUAACCAAAGUUUAUUAAUAGCAAUAUUAUGAUGUUAUUAUGGUUUUUUGUCAUGCAUUAAUUCUAUUUUUGGCCAAAGGUAAUGUAGAAUUAGUGUAAAAGAAUUAAUUGUAUGUUAUAAUCUAAUGUGGAGAGCAGUUACAAAUAUUCAAUAAAUUAUAAUAUUUUUAUUUUCUGAGCAAAGUUGAUGAUAAAAAUAUUAUAAGUUAUGUUUAAAGUUUAAAUCUCUGAUGAAUUUUGCAUGAAAGUGACCAAUUUGUUAGAAAAUGGAUAAAGAUUUAGAAAUGUUCCUGAAAAUAGAAAAUAGUAGUAUUUUUCACAUUUUCGUUGUAGAGAUUAUUAUGAUACUGUCCUUUUCUGAGCAAAGUUUUCAAUAGUAAUGUCAUGAUAUUGUUUAUCAAUUAUAUAUAGUAAUGUCAUGAUAUUGUUUAUCAAUUAUAUGCAUUAAUUCUAUUUGUACCCAAGGGUGAUUUAGAACUGAUGUAGAAGAAUCAUGACAUUGUUUAUCAGUUAUAUGCAUUAAUUCUAUUUCUGCCCAAAGGUGAUUUAGAAUUGAUGUAGAAUGAUGAUUUAUUCUAUUUCUAUCCAAAGGUGAUUUAGAAUAUAAAAAGAAAGAUUUAAAAUUUUAAUGUGCAUGUCUUUAACCGGGUUAUUUUCAUGCUCCUUAUUUUCAUGCUCAUUAAUAUAAAAGGAUCUGCUACCUCGCUUUCUUAAAAGCAGAGGCUUUGCCUCCUUUGCCUCCUUUUUUUAAAAGAAAAAGGACAUCUUUGGAACUAAACAAGGCCUUACACGAGGAUGAGUCAAUACAACAAUUAUUGUUUAACCAUAAACUAACUAGACUCAAAAGAUCGUGUCUUAUAAAUUACAGAGAAAUUGUGCAAUUAGUUAUUAUUUUUAUCUAUAUUUAAUACUCCAUACAUGUGUUGAAAGAUUUAUUUAAUGUAAUGAGGAAUCAUGAGAACUAAACAAGGCCUUACACGAGGAUGAGUUGAUACAACACAUUUAUGUGGGUCUGUCGCCACCAGCAGAGAAUUGCGAACAGACUGUUCGCUUGAACUUACUAACUAAAUCAGUAAUAUUUUUUUAUAACAAAUCAACAAAAAGUAAUUUCUAUCAUAGCUUAUCAGCUAAACGAACAAAAAAUAAUGUAACGUGCCACAAAAAAUAAUGUGACGUUGACUUCCGCCUCAGUCCCUCACAAUACAUGAGAUUGGAUUGCAGCUAAACAAAAGUUCUGUAAUGUAUUCCAAGGUAUUUUAGAUUGUCAUCUAUUACUUAGAUAUCAAAAUUUGCAUGCAAACCUGGUAUGACACAGGCAAGUUCAAGGACCAAGUGACACAUCCACACAAUGACACUAUACAUAAAUAUAAUACUUAAGGCCUGUUUGGUACAGCUCACAACAGCUUCAUGAGCUGUUUUUUUUUGCCAAACACUUAUUUCCAAAACAACUUCAUUGAAGCUGUUUUUCUCCUCCUCUCACAAAGACAUAGUUGGAUGAAGCUGGAAAAAAGUAGCUUAUUGCAGCUUCUCCCUCAUUUCUCUCUCUCAACUAUGCAUGAAGUAGUUGGUGAAGCUAUUUUGCCAAACACUUUUUCCGAAACAGCUCAGCUUCAUCUAGAAAGUCACUCAUGAAGCUAUUUUCUAAAAAAACAGCUUCACUAGUGAAGUUGAGCUGUGCCAAACAAGCCCUUAAAAGAAGACGCCACAAACUAUUUUUUAACAAAACCCACGGAACAUGCCGCAAACUUGAUGUCUUAUCGAUUUAUAUAUACAGCGUAAAAAUAGUAAAUACGAUCCCUUCCUAGUCCACAACACGAAAUAGGUCCUUAAAUUUUAUUGAGAAACACGAGAAGCCUUUCCUGUGGAACCAUCGGAUAUACAGAAGAAGAAAGCAAAAUGGUUGGCAGGAAGGCAUGUCCAAAUGAGUUGGCAAGGCUAGCAGGAAAGUGAUGCAGGCAGACAUGACUCGAUCCAUAUCCUUCUCCCUGUAAUACAUAAAUACUGUGAGAAAAAUGGUCUAGAUGGAUGAUGUUCAUAUUAUACUUGCUUCACUUAGCAAGAGAAGGGUACCAUGCAAUAUGUGGCAUACCAAGCUCUUGAAUCUUCUCCCUGUAAUACAUAAAUACUGUGAGAAAAAUGGUCUAGAUGGAUGAUGUUCAUAUUAUACUUGCUUCACUUAGCAAGAGAAGGGUACCAUGAAAUCUGUGGCAUACCAAGCUCUUGAAUCGUGCCUGGGCAAAUCACAGGACCUCUACCAGACCGCGUGUCAUGAAGCUUGCUGCAGAGGGUGGUGCAACGAAACGUCUAGUAAUCAUCCGUGGGGCAGGCGCCCAGGGUCUGCCAGUGCAUACAAGGAUUAAUUUGUAAAGUAGUUUUUUUAUAACAAACUUCAUUAACUUUAACAGCAACAUACAGAGAGGAGCCUAAAAUGCUCCCAGGUUACAGACUGCAAUGCCUCUAGACAAGGCAAGAAAGAUAGCUGCUAUGAGCAGAACAUGUACACAAGAAUUGGGUAAAGGCAUGUGAUGGACUAAAGACUGCGGAGUAGCAUUUAGUGAGCGGUGAAUUUUGAGAGUCUUGAAGCCGUUUCCUGCCAUAUGUUCUAGGAAUACUUACUUUUUGUAAAGGCUUCUAGUUGUACUGUGCCUCUGCCAAGUGCUAUAUUUACAGGAUACAAUUGACAGAAACAGACACUAAAGAUAAUGAGUGGUAUACUUAGCUUCCAUACUAAUAAUUUCCAAGAUUUAAAAAUUGACAACUCUUAUUAUUCAUAAGCCUGAUAAAUAUAUUUCACUUGAACUUGAAAGCUACAAUGUUUAGACACCUUUGGAAAACAUUAUUUAGUUUCAUGAACCCAGUGCUUUGUCAUAUUAAAUUGACUUGAUUCACGUGAAAUUGCAUGCGAAAUUUCUGUGUGCCAAAGGGGGCCUUUGCAGUACUUUUCUAGUUGGAGAAAGAUGGUGGUCUCCCAGUAAGUGAAAUGCCAAGACAGGGUCUGCUUGGAAUGCGGGAAUUCCCGAUAUAGGUUUAAUUUCACUAGGAAGAUGCAGUUUUUUUUUUUUUUGGGGGGGGGGGGAUGCUCCAAAAAAAAACGAGGACAACAGUGAAGAACAGGUGCAUAUAUGCGUCAAUAAAUAAACAUACAACCAACCAGCACAAAUCAAUUAAGUAUAAUAUGAUACAUAAAAGCCAGCACAGCAGCAAAGCAAUACAUAUUAUUAUUACCUUGAGAGGAACUUGGAGAACUCGGAGGGGAGGAAGGGCAAGGGACAUGCGGACUUUACUUGGGUCAACUCAAUCUUAUCAGUGUCAAGGUCCGCAAACCCAUUGAGAUACUGAGAACAUGACUCCACGAUCUUGGUGCUCAUGUUGAUGGUGACCACCCACAUCUUCAUCAUCACGUACUCAUAGUCACAGCAAAGGAAGUGCACCACAUGUGGCCUGUAGAUGUCCACCUGAGGGAACAUGAGAAUGUGGCGUGGGAGGUCCUUUGGGGUGUUUGCAGACCAGAGCUCCUUGAGGUGAUCGUGUAGUCCUUCUCCCACUCCAUGGAUUCUAAGGAGAGGGUGUGGCAGGUGAUGGUGAAGCCACCAACACUGGUUUUGAGUGCCCC